UUUUCUUUACUAUGUUUUGUGUAAUUAGUUCAUGGUUUGUUUACAUGCCUUUUGGAAAUGUUAAUUGGAAUUACUCCAGUAGAUUUGUAUUUCGAAAUCUAAAUAGAACAAUAGAUCUGGUUUAGUUGGUUAAUUUCUUUUGUGAUGGAAUAUGAUCAUUGGUAUUUGUUAUCUUUCUUGUUUGUUUAUCUCUGGGAAGAUGGAUUGUUCAAUGUGCUCAGACCAAAACUUCUUAGGUUUUAAAUCCUCUGUAUUUGUACACAUUUGAGCACCAAAUCAUGAUUAUUUCUUCUGUUAUGUGUGCAAAAUUUCUGAACCUUGAACUUUGAAAUUACUUGAUCUCAAAACCAUUUAACAUGUCCUGCUGAUUCAUUUAAACACACAAUGUGCAGCAGAUUGUUUGUUGAGUUUCUUGAACUUCAUUGCAUUAUUUGGGCUCUUUUUCUAUAAUUUUAUACAAGGCCUAAAUAGGUCAAACUGUUUUACAAAGCCUGUCACAUAUCCAGAUCCAAAAAGAUUGAGGCCUUUGUAGUAAAUUAUCCAGCCCAACAAUAUUAAAAGGUCUGCAGUCCCUUCUGGACUGCUGGCAAGUGGCAACUGGCCCAAAGAGAUCUGGCUGAAUACGAGUGCUAUGUCAGUUAUGCCCAAAGCCCCAAAUGCCCUAUGUAUCCGAAUAAUAUUGUUUUUUUUAUUAUUGGCAAGCAGGGUUGAGAGGACUCUUACCAUUUUAAAUUACGUGUGAAAACUUAUAUCAACACAAUAUUACGUGAGAGGGGUCCUACAAUUUAGCCACAUACUCAUUCGCAAAACAAUAUUGUUUGUUCAUUUUUCAGUUUUGUCACGAUUGUUGUAUACACAUUGUUAGUUUUUGUUAUCUGGGUCAUGAUAAUACUAAACAACAUGCAUUGUACAUAAAAAUAUUGAACCAAAUGUAGUAAGUUUAGAUAAAUGGAUGAUUAAGCAGACCAUGUGAAGUAUUAAAAAUAGGUAGUUAGAAUGUUAAGCAUGGGAUGGUUUAGAAUUAGAUAAGGGUCUUCUCAGACGUGUUCCUUUGACAUUAAAAUAUAUUGAUGAUCAGUAACCAUUAUUUUGGUAGUUGGCAUAGUUGAAGUAUUUGAAUUGAAAUAUUUCUGUGAGGAUACAUUAAUUAUUGUACUAUGUCCACCAUAUAUUUGUGAACCGUGAACGUUGGACCCCAAACACCUAUCCACCCCCCACAUCCUCCUUUUAUGGGUUCUUUUUGCCAUUAUGUAGGUGUAUUUUUUGUGCGAAUAUGCUGCUUACAUGAAAUUCCAAUUAACCUCAAGAGUAAAUGAAUUAAACUGAUGAUUGUUUAAAAAAAGUUGACUACAUUUGACAAAAUAGUGUUUCAAAGUCUCAGCACAAGUAUAAGUACCAUACUCGUUGCCGUGGGUUGAGUUGAGAGUUGAGUGGACUUCAACUAUUCAGUAGGGGUGAAGAUCAGAAGAUGUUCAAGGUAAAAGACAAGCUGGGCCUUUUGAAGAGCUAAUAAUAAGCUCAUGCUUGUGAGCCAGCAACAACUGAGUGUGACAUUUCAGUCAUUAUUUUUGGCUUCUAGUUUGCCUGUUUUAAUGAUCUUUGUUGGCAUUAGCAAGUCCAUCUGUUGUAUUUGAUUGCAUGUGGGCCGAAUCAUGUGUACGUUCCCAUAAAUUUUCUGACUCACAAUUGUAAACAACUGAGUGCAUUCUCCUCUUUGUUUGGUUGAAAAGUAUGUACUUAACAUUUCAACCUGGCUAAUAAUUUCUUAUACUGUAUAUCAUAGUAGCCUUCAUCUGCCGAUCAAAGUUUUGGAAAAACUGGUCAACAAUGCCAUAUCAAAGUUGGUUUCAUAGAGGUUGCAGAACUGCAGAAGGGGACUGUUGGUGAAUUCACAUCUCAUUAUUAGUUGAGUGUGUACCCGCAGUGGCUCGUGACUUUUGUAACUCCGCUCACAUGUUUGGUUUAAAAGCAUAUGUCUACCACUUGACCACUUGAUCGAUCAAGUAAAGAUAAUUUUAUCAAUUUCCAUUUUUUUUUUCUUGUGCACAAGAAGAUGUUCAAUUACCAGUGUUUUACUAAUACUGUAGUUUGAUAAAUCCACGAAUUAAACAUGAAACAAACCUCCAAAAACUAAAAUUGUUGUUUGUUGAAGAAAUUAGAGAACACUUGUUUCAUGUUUCAAUUAUUUAAUGGAAGGUAACAAACUUCAACUAUAUCUUAUAUCUUACAUGUAAGUAAAAUCUAGUAGAACAUAUGUAAAAUAAAUAUAUAUAAUGGGGGUAAUUAGAAGUAUAUUUUUCUGUUUAUAUUAAACACAAACAACAAUUAUCAAAAGAAAACGGGUAAGCUGAGAAAUAAAAAAAAAAAAAAGUAACUUCCCGCCAAAUAGUUAUGUUUAAACUUUGAACUGUUCUUCUUUGAAUCACCAAAGAAGUAGAAUAAGAUUCUAAUUCCUCUUGUUCUUGCUUCCAAACAACAAAGAGAAGUAGAAUAAGAUUCUAAAGAAAAAACCCCAAGCCACAGUAAUCCACAAGCACUGCCACUUAUUCAGAUCAGUUACUCCUUGUUGCUUUAACAGAUCUGGCCCAGUAGUAACACAGCUGGUGUUAGUGAUGCUCACACCUAAUGUUUCACUCAUUGUCUUCAACAAUCUUUCCUUCAACAUGUCAGGAACGGUUGCGAGAGGGGUGCCAUCGAAGAUUUGAGUCCCUCGGAUGAAACAUUUAUUUGGGUCACUGAACUCAUUAUGUAAGACUGCUUCAUAUGGAUACUUCACUAAUGAAAUGAAAUGAAACCAAAUCCAGUAAUCUGGAAUUCGAUCUCGGUUAAUGAAGAAUCCACUGAAGAGAAGGAAGUAUGCGAGUACUGCAACGACGACCACAUAGCCUAUCAUAACAUGAGGGAUUACUCCUGAUAAGAAAGUAACAAAAGAACUACCAGCCCAGAAUGAUGCAAGGAUAAUCAAGAAAUAGAAAAAGAACCCACUUGAUCCACCAGCAAGACCUACUGCCCAGAAAGUUAUUGUCGCAAAUGCAAUAGAAAGAAAGAUUAUAGGAGGUACCGCAGUAAUUGAGCGUGAUAUGCAAUAGGAUGAUCGGCGAUAAGCAUUGUAAGCAGUCUCUCGCAUAAAGAUGAAUCUCUCUUGAAGGAAUACUGGGAGAGCAUCAGCACAAGUGUAGUAUGUAGUCGACAUAGCAAAAGCAAAAAAUCCUAUUCUUUCCUGAAUCCCUCUAGGCGAAUUGUCUAGUUUCCAGAACAUUGUAGCCAAGAUGAAUCCAGUAACCAUAACAGCACCUAAUCGAACUCCAAAUAACUCUGGCAAUCGCCAUGAAUUCAUUAUAGACCGUUUCGAUAGAACUACAAUUUCUUUCCACAUUGGAUUUGCAAAAGUCGCCAUAGUUGAUGAAGAGUUGUUAUUAGUAGCACCAGACACCAAUUUCCCUCGCGAAAUGCUUGCACUAAUCGCAUCUUUAAGCGAUAACCCUGUUCGAUCAAACUCAGAUUUCCUUGACGAUUUCAAAUUCAUCCAUGAUUUAUGAAAUUCCACCAAGCUUUUAGUCCCACCAGGAGAAACUUCAAGCUCACGAAUCAAAUCGAGCGCAAACUCAGUUCGAUUCUCAUUUUCCGGUAUUGGAUGACCGAACUCAGCAAAGUAUCCUGGAAUGUUUGCAGGUGUUCCACUAUAAACAGUUUGUCCUCUUGACAGAAAAAUCAAUCUAUCAAGCAAACCAAUAAUUCGAUAACUCGGCUGAUGAAUCGACAUGAUGACAAUACUUCCACUCUGAGCAAUCCUCUGUAAAACCUUCACCACCAUGAACGCACUCGUCGAAUCAAGUCCUGACGUUGGUUCAUCAAGAAACAAUAUAAUUGGAUCAUGAAUAAUAUCAAUACCAAUUGAAACUCUUCGCCUUUCGCCACCUGAAACACCUCUAUGACCUUCAUCACCAAUGACAGUUUUCGCAGCGUUUCUUAGCCCUAAUUGAUCAAUUAGAGCUUGAACACGAGCUUUCUUCUUAGACUUGGAUAGCGAACGCGGUAAUCUGAACUCUGCUGAGAACAUGAGUGUUUCUUCAACUGUUAACAUUGGAUAAAGAAGAUCAUCCUGCAUUACAUAUGCAGAGAUCACCUUCAAUAAACGAGAUUCUAAUGGUUCUCCAUUCAAUUUAACUGAACCUUUUAAACUUCCUUUGGCAAUACGAUUUGCUAACGCAUCGAUUAAUGUCGAUUUCCCAGAUCCACUAGCACCAAGAACUGCCAUAAUUUCACCAUCUCUUGCUUGACCGGAAAUGUUAUUCAAAAGAACUUUUGAAUUCAAAGAUUGAACAUCAACUGUUUCAUCAACAGCUCCGAGACGAUUUUUCCGGCGAAAACAAGUUGAGAAUUCCAUUUUCCGACGAACUUUCACACUGUAAGUUAAAUUAGUGAAAGAAAGAACAAAAGGUAAUGAUCUUGCUUCGAGAUUUGUAGUAAUAGUAGUAUUGUUACUACCCAUCUCGAUGACUUGAUGAUGAACUGGUGUUUGAUCUCCUUCUUUUCUACUUGAAUCUCCGACGAGUUUUAAUAACUCACCGAGUGUCGGAGAUAAUUGUCCGAUUGAAUUCUGAGGAUCGUAAUCGUCCAUCUCUAUUGCUUGUCUUCGUGAUGAAAAUCCUAAUCUCGAGGAAAUACUCCUCUCUGAACCUAUACAAGACAUUUUCUUUUCUUUCUCUUUUGUUCUCUCUAUAUAACACACACAAAGCGAGUUUGUUAACGGUAACGGAAAAGCGUUUAAGUUUCCAGGUUUACGGCAAAGAAGGUGAACCGUCAAGUGAAUGAAGUUGAUAUAUCAUAUAUGGAGUAUUUCUCUCUCUCUCUCUCUCUCUCUCUCUCUCUCUCUCUCUCUCUCUCUCUCUCUCUCUCUCUCUCUCUCUCUCUCUCUCUUUCUCUUUCUUGUUCAGAUUGGAAGUGGGUUUGAAGACAGUAGAGCAACUUAAACUCUGUGACUGUGAAUCUGUGAGAGUGGAGAGAGAGAGAGAAAGAAAGACACUUAAUUUGCAGUUGCAUGGUUGGUGUAUUUAUAGCAUUUGAACCUAUAAAACUAAAAGUCUUAUCUACACAUAAUUAUGUACUCCAUGUAGUUGGUUUAGGAGGUACUCAAAACUCUGUAUCUUCCUUUUCGUUUUUAUUUUGGUGGCCAAUAUAUGGCCACCAAAAAUUUACAGUAGCAAUUUUUUAGCCAUUGAUCAUAUAAUGAUUAAACAUCAAGAUAUAUGAUUGUUGAAAUAUAAAUUUUAAAAUGUUCCACCUGAUUUUUUAUUCAGGUAUGUUGUUCGUAAAGUUUUACCCAUGAUCGCAUGGAAUGUAAUAUAUAUUUACAGUAUAUGAAAAUGUAUUAUGUAAUUUCAAGUUUAGGGUAUGUUGUAAUUUAGUGAGAAUGAGUUAUUAAGAUGUGGGUAUAGAAGAUAAGGUGAUAAUUAAGUUUGAUUUUGGUGUUGAGAAUGUGACGGUGAGAUGAAUAUAAUGUUGAGCAACACCCUCCUACUUUCUCCCCUAAUUGAUAAUUAUUGACAAAUAAGAUGAUGACACAAAUUAGAAUUGUUUCUUCAAUAAUGUUAAAGUUGUUAUUAGUUGAGCAUGUUUAUCAAUUGUGUCACUGUGAUUAAUUGGAGUACGUAAAGCUUUAAAGAUUAUGGUUACAUGUUUGACUUGUUUUUCAUUCAUUCUUCUGUAACCCAAAAAUGGUCAAAUGGAUGAGAUGGUGCAGAGAUAAACUCAUACAUAGAAGAUAGUUGUACAAAGACUGGAAAACAUUUACUUUUGGUUCUAGAUGAGCCAACACUUCACCAAAUUGUGAACUAACAUACACCUAUAUAUUACCUGUUUUGUAAUUAUUUAUGUCGAUUUGAGAUUAAAGCAUUUGGACAAUUGGACCACAUGAGAGUUGAGACAUAGACCAAAAACAAAUACACUCCAAUAGUCCAUAUUGCAAUUUCCUUUUCCUCAUUAAAUCCUUUGCACCACUUUUCUUAGAUUUUUAUGUGAUUACGACCUACUUUUUCUAUUAUAGGAGUUGAGUUUGGUUCCUGUCAUUCUCAUGCUUAACUAAGCAAAUUCUAUUAAGUUAUAUUUAACCAUAACCAAAUAAAAUAAAAUUGGUAAAAAAAAAUUAAUUUUUGCUUAUGGUACUGGUUUGCUUACUUGUGGGAAAGGAGAAAGAAGUUGUAUAUCAUAAAAAAGUCUAACUCAGUCCAUUUGUGGGAAGUGGCAACGUGGAGGGAGGCAUAUUAUGGUUGGGGGUUGAGAGUUGAUUGCAAACUCGAUCAAGCAUAAGUUAAGUUUCAUGCAAUUUAGAGGACUUGGACCCCUCAAUGUUGACGCUUGAUUGGUUUGCUGACGUAGAGCUUUAACCAUGAAUUGCAUUUAUAUUGGAGAUGUAUUCACUAUUCAGUAUUGUAUGCAUGUGGUUAUGGCCCAACCUUAUUGAAAAGUACAGAAUUCAGAAAAAUACAACCAUUGAUCUUGAUGUUUUUCCCUUUGAGAUCUUUUUGAUAUAAGAUGUGAAUGAUUUGGGGAAAAUAAUGACCAAGACUGAUAGGAAUGUAAUGUGUUCUCAAUCCUUAAGGCUUAAGAAAUGUUGUUAAUUCGAUGGAUGAGUCUGAAAUGCUGUUCAUACUUCAUAUGUCUUAGACCCAAAAUAAAUGAGCUUUUGCUAUAGUAGAAACUAGAAAGAAUUGUGUUAAAUGGUGAUAUUGAUUGGUGUUUAGUUUCAACAAAGCAGUUGAACAUGUUUGAUUGAUUGCAUGAUAUGUAUGUGUAAUGUGUUUACUGACUCUUAUUGCUUUUUACUUAAUUUUAACUUCUUUCCAUAAAUGGUACCACCACAAGUCAUUUGUGUUCAACUGUUAAUCAAAGAACAUAGAAAACUUAAGCUCAGCAUACACUACUUGCAGGAAAGUGCACUUAACUUUUCACUAACUAUGUAACUUGACUAAUGAUUCUAUAAAUUAUAGCCAUAAAAAGAUGAUAUGGAAGUCUUAAUCAGGUUUUUGUAAUUUGCUCUCCCUAAUGGAGUUUCCGUCUUUCCAGGUGGUUUUGAGCAUGUCAUCCAUUUUCCUUUUAUCUCCAAGUUAACAAUUUCUCUCAUAAUACAUUUCCUUAAAAGAAGUCCUACAAAUGGAAGAGUCUGUUUGAUUAGAAGUCCUUUAAAAUUAUUUUUUGGGCAAUCUCACAAGAAGCCACACUCUGACACUUAGAAUGUGAAGAGAGGCAAGGCUGAAAAUCUUUUACAAGGGAUACUCAUUAAUGAUUUUUGGAAGAAAGUUCAUCAUGCAAAAGAAGGAUGCAAUCUAACCAGAUGUAUAUAGAUAUAAAUAAAGAAAAGGAUAAGCGAAUAUCCAUAUACUGUAUAUGAACCACAAAGAACUCUAAAAUAUCCUUUAGGCUACAAAAGUGCUAAAAUUCAAAUACACAUUAUACAUGAAAUCCAGUGACCAGUGGUGUGGAGAUAAGGAGAUUAAGCCUUGUAGGCUAAGGUUUCCAAGGUUCCCUCAAUAGAAGGAUAUACAUAACAUUUGUUUUUAUCAUAAACUACAAUCACACAUUUAUCUUUCCAAAACAAAUUGACUGAGAAAAAUGUGACCCAACCAAACUGAUAGUAGCUUUUUGAUGCUUCCUGGCUCCUGCAUCAUAAUAUUAAAAGGAUAGACUUUUUAUAGCUUGAUUUGUUUACUAAGUGUUUAUAAUGAAGAAGAUGAUAAUUUAAUGUGUGUUUCCUCUACAGAAUUGGUCAUGGUCUUUCUUAAUUAGGCCCCAUAACUGGGUAGGUUAUUCAGGUCUGUGUAGUGAUAAUUUCUAUUUUCUAGUACUAUAACAUGAUGGGUAGGUUUUUGUACAAGAUUGUUGAGCAUUUGCUUCAAAAUGAAUGUAAAAUCUUUCCCAAUGAGAUAGGAGUAUAUAAUGUACAUUCGAGUCGAAGCUAUACUGCUCUACUUCUCUGUGCAUCAAUUUGUCGUGCAGUUAAAAAUAAUGGCUUAUAGAGUUAGAGGUUGUGAGCCAGGAAUGAAGGAAAACGACCAACAACAUAAUGGCUUAUAGAGUUAUAGGUUGUGAGCCAGGAAUGAAGGAAAACGACUAACAACAACAUUGUAGUAGUGGUCGGAUGGUGUGUUCUCUACUGUAAGUAUGUGAAAUAGGAAGGUGUUCGCACUAUGGGAAUGCUCCAUGAGAAACUGAGACUUCAAUUCCUUCAAUAAAGUCAAGCCAGCCCACUCAAUAGUUUCAAAGCUUAACUCAGUGCUGAUUGCCAGUGAGGACACUACUCAAAUCAAACCAAGCAUAAAUGAACCUUGGGAGUUUGGGUACAACCCAUAACCUUAUUAGUGAGAAACAAUCACUUGAAGUGCAGAUUUGGGUUGUUAACACUUGCGUACUUCAGAAUAAGAAACUCAAUCUUUUUGCAUGCUUCAAUUAUUUUAAGUUAACCUGCCCACAUUAUCAGAACUCAGUCCUAUUGUAGCAUAGAUGCCAUACAGAAGAGAUCAAUGAGGUAAGCUAAGGGUGGUGUAUUCUCUUUUUCUGUAUUUGAGCACCAAAAUCCUUCAAACCAUAUUCCAACACUUUGAUCCAUAUUUUCCAGUUGGGUUUGGGCCAUGUCCUUUCCAUGACCAAAAAAGACAAGCUGUCUCAUAAUUAAUGCUUUUCGUGUGGAAAAUGAAGCAUUUGAGCUAAUUUUGUUAUCAAGUGUUGAAAUGUCAAUCAUCAUCAUCUGAUAUCUCAUUAAUUCUCAUACCUUCCUGCAAGUUAUAAAUUCUCGAUUGGUACAAUUUAUAUACAAGAUACUGAUACAGUACUAUGCUACCAAAUAAAUAAAUAUUAAAAAGUGAAAAGAUAACUAAAGGAGUAAAUCUUUAUCAAAAAAAUAAAUAAAAAAACCUUAACAGUAAAUAUUUUGCAUAUUUGAGUGGAAUAAUCCAAACAGGUAAAAGAAUGCUUUCCUUCACAUUUAUAGGUCAAAAAUGAAUUCAUGUGGUAUUCUGAAAGUCUAGCAAGCCAACCAAUCCAUCAAUUUCAUUUGGGUGUCUCUGAGUUUAAAGUUUAAGGGAUGUCCAGAUCCCUUGCUCACAAUUUAUCAUUUCUUUUCGAUAAUCAGUAAAUCAAUAACCCUCAAAGCAGAAAAGAAUGAGAGUUUUAUAAUAAAGGUAAACAGCCACUUAGACAGGCAUCUAGGCUGGAGAGUCGAACAUGGGACUGAAUCCAGAGAAAUUUCUCUUUCCCCCUCGGUUAGAUCUCACUCGGUCUUGGCCUUCAAUGAUUUCCUUCUAUUUGAGGUACGCAGACCACUUGUACACCUUCCCACAAAUUUGAGGAUCUCAUCGAUCAAGAUCACAGGUAAAGCAACAGCCAACACUAAGAACCAUUCAUUUAGACUGAGAGGCACAAUGCCAAACACUUGUGCAAGGAAUGGAACGUAGAGGAUCAAGAAGUGCAAGCCAAAGGAAACAGACAUGGCCACAAGAAGCCAUGGAUUGACCCAUGGGGGCAUCACUAGGAGGCUUCCAUCCUCGGACAACGCGUUGAGAGAGUUAAACAUCUCAAUUGAAACCAAGACAGAAAGCGAAAGGGUCAUGGCCUUCACUUUGCCUGCCUGGAAAUAGUCACAGGGGUUGGCAUCAAAGGAGAAUACCUGACCCCCAGCUGUGAAAGGUGAAACUGUGAAUCCCUCCCAAGAAGGGCACUGACCCCAGUUGGAGAGCUGGGAAUAAGUAACCAGGCUGUGGCCAUCCCCGCUUAAGUCAAUUCCCAAGAAAGAGCUUUGUGUAAACCAUAUGAUGAAGACACCAACAGUCGCUAUCCCAACAUAUAGUCCAAUGACCUGUACAUGGAUUAAUUAAAAAGUUAUACAAGGGAUACAUGAACUCCAAAAUUGACCCUUCCAAAGAGUGCAAAUUGAGUAUCACAAUUAAAUCAGUCUGCAAGGUGGGAUGUAAUUAAAAGUAAAUCAUGUGCAAGGCCAAAAGGACUUACCAAGUAGCGGAAUAAAAUCCAAGCACUUAUUAGUGAGUCAUCACUUCUUCGAGGAGGUUUCUUCAUGAUAUCUUUAUCAGGUGGAUUGAAUCCCAAAGCUGUAGCAGGGGGACCAUCAGUUACGAGAUUGACCCACAAAAGCUGAACAGGGAUAAGGCCUUCCGGAAUGCCUAAUGCUGCUGUUAAAAAUAUAGACGCAACCUCACCAAUAUUUGAGGAGAUCAUGUACCUGAAACAAUAUUAGUAUUUUUCAAAAUCAAACUUCCAAAUGAAUGUAUCUGAAAUAAUAAGAAAUUAUGGGAAAAAGAUCAAGAGAACUUGGUAUUAGUUGAACACUCAAAUCAAUAGAUAGAUCAGUAGAGUAUCUGUGCACUUCUAUAUACAGUAAGAAUCCUAGAAAUUCAUAUCUAGCUGUACAAAUAGUAAACCAAUGAAAAAGUACAAAACAGUGGAAGCAGAUUAUUUGAAUAUUUAACUACAGCUGCAGAGAUGUUCUAAAAGUAGAAGAGAAGGAAAAUGCCUUAUAAAAGCUUUCAUGUUGUUAUAGAUAGAUCUCCCUUCGCCAACAGCAGAAACUAUCGUACUAAAAUUAUCAUCAGCCAAGACCAUGUCAGAAGCUUCUUUAGCGACCUGGGAAAAAAAUUUAUUAGGUACUCUUCAGAAAAGAGGUAAGGUAAACAAACAAUAUAAGUAAGAAAAACACGGGGAGUAACAGGUUAAGAAUAGUUAUAAUGCAAUUGUUUGACAAAACAUAUCCACUAUGUAGUAUGUACACAACAUGAAAUUGCAGACGACCACAACACAACAUUUGCUAGACCUUGAGAACGAAAACUUGAGUAUGCAAGUGCAUGACGAUGAGAGUUGUUUACACCCAAAUUUGGUAUAGACUGGAUUGUAACUAAGAUCUUCCUUAAAGAGAACUCUCCUAGAUUGCAAUUACAAAAUAAUAAAAGAAAAACAAGAAACAAAUUGAUGAAAUCCAUAUGAAAUAACAAAACAUCGGACAGCCAACAGGCCAUUUGUCGAUGCCAGAAGAUUUUCAAAGGUAUACAAGUAUAAUACAACCCUAUCCUUGAACGAUACACAACUACAGUAUCUAAGAACAGGUAAUUAACCAGUGGAGCUUGACGAAUGUUUCCACAGAACAACGAUAAUAAUGUCUCUGAGAAGUUGUGGCAUGUAAUACUAAGAAUGUAAGCAGUUUUACCUCAGUUCCAGCAAUGCCCAUAGCAAUACCAAUGUCAGCCAGCUUCAAAGCAGGGCCAUCAUUCACCCCAUCCCCAGUCAUUGCCACGACCUCACCAUCUUCUUUCAGUAGCCUCACUAUCUCUUGUUUAUGCCUUGGUUCAGCCCUAGAAAAUAGAAGCCCUCCACUCUGCCUCAAAUGGUUUUUCUGAUCACGAAGAUCCAUAAACUCUCUUCCUGUCAAACUUUUUGGGCGAAUAUCUUCAUGAGGUCCAAAAACACCUAUUUCACGGCAAAUUGCUUCAGCUGUAUGCUUGUUAUCUCCUGUUAUAACCAUUACACGAAUGCCAGCUUCCCUGCAGUCCUCGAUAGCUUUGUGCACCUCUUCUCGAGGAGGAUCCUAUUAGAUUCACAGUUUAAGAAAGCUAGUAUCAGUCAUCUGAAUGUACAAACGAAUUUCAAAAAAGAUCUGCUGGUAUAGAGAAAUGAAUAAAUAGAUGUAUAUACACCCACCCUUAGCCCAACCAAUCCAACAAAAGUAAGACCGGACUCGAUAUUCGAGUAGUUGGCUGGAUUAAGUAAAAGAUCGUGAGCUGGAUGAUCUUCAUCACCAUCAUAUGUGGCAAAUUCAGAAAGAUUAUCCUUGUAAGCAAAUCCCAGACAGCGUAAUGCAGUUGUGGACAUUUCAUGAAGAGACUGAAGGAUAAGCUUCCUUGAAUUCUGAUCUAGCUCUACAAUGGAGCCAUCAAGCAACUGAAGAAAAGAGCUUCUUUCCAACAAAUUCUCCACUGCACCCUGUCACAUGCACAAUAUUUUCAUGAAGCCAGGUACUCAUUUAUUCUUUCAAAUGGUUUCAGAGAAGUAAUAUAGUGCUUCAAGAUCAAUAAGAUACUUCAAUCACUCAAUGGUAGCACAAAAUGCACCGAAAAUGAGAUAAAUAACAUGUUACAAGAUCAGAUUCUAGUCAUGGACACGUGGUACAACCAGAGAUUGGUGUUAGCUUUCAACAUCAUUUAUUUACAAUAUCCACCUAAAACUAAGCCCUCCUAAAAUUUUGCUUGAAAUGUGUCAAAAAGGAAGUUCCAUAGGUUUCAAAGGUGAAAGGUCAUACAUUUCUUACUUUCUUUUGAGUUUUGACUAAUACGAACAUAUGCUCAAUGACUGUGCAAGAUUCACUAAGCAUGAUUAAAAGAUCUUUCUGCUCCAAACAACAGAAAUUUUAACUAGGACAAUGGUAGCUAAAGAAUGAUGAGAAGCAGUACAUAUUGAACUCCAGAUAUGAGUAAACUCAAACUUUAAUAGCUCUUGCAUUAUAAAAAAUGUUACGACAAAACAACCAUGAUAUAAAUUUAUAUAUCAUAAGCUUGUCAUUUAUGAAUUUCUGUUGCUACCAUUCUCCUAGUUAAAAUUGAACCCUUGUGUAAUAUCUACUCCCCAUAACUCAGUGCCAGUUGUAAUCUCUACUCCCCACAAGCUUAUCAUGUAUAAAUUGAAGCCUCGUGUAAUAUGUGAAUAUAUAAGAUCACAACUGGGAGCAAGGAGAUAAGAGAAGUGUGCAAUUAUGUCUAGUUAGAAAUCAAGUUAUUUGCUUUAUGAUGUUAGUACGUAAUAGCAUUGCAAAAAAGGGAGAAGAAAAGCAUAUGAUACCUUCACCAACAACGAAUUUCUUCCUGAAUCUGACUUCGCAAUAACUCCCAUGGACUUACGAUCGCGAUCAAACUCAAGGGUUGCAAUCCGACGUUCGAUAGUAUUCCACCGUUGACAACAGCCUUAUAUAGGAAGAAAGGAUAGAAAUACAAAUAUGUGAAUUUUAAGGCUAAAAAUUCAGAGGAAAAUGUAAUUAGUAUGCAGAGAUUUAACUUACGUAACACAUCAGACGGAAUUGAAGAUGAAUGGUGAGAGCCAUCAGGAUUUCCCAUUUUCUCAACUAAAACCUGAAACAGAAAAAAUAAAUUUCAUAUAUGGAAGGCAAACUUAGUUACUUUUGUUUGAAAAGGGCAAAAGGCAAAGUCCAUUUGUGACAUCAGGAUGACUUGGUUGCAAAAAUUCCAGAUUUUUAUCUUCUGAAUUUUAUGGAAGCAACAAGUAAUCUGUAAUAAGUUCCUAGUGGUUAGUUUGAUCCUUAUUUCUCUCAAACCCCCUCUUAUGCUUCCAGAGAACUAGUUUGCCUUCCUUCGUUUGAUCCUUAUUGUAAAAUAAUAUUCGCACAAAUGAAAAGUGUGGCAGAAAAAAGAGGUUUUACCUUUAGUGCUGCCUCAGUUGGCAUUCCGUUAGCAACAUAGUGAUUCCCAGAUUGUGAAACACCCGCGUCAUUGCACACAGCUGCUAUUUUCGCAAUCAUUUGAAGAUUCACAUCCAUGCGUCCGCUUGGGAAGUUAUGUAUUUUUCCAUCAAUGGGACUAUAUGUAGUCCCAUCGACUUUGAAACUUCGGACCGCAUUUGUACUGGGCCCCAUAGCCACAAGCUUUGCCACUGCCAUCUGAUUAGUAGUUAAUGUACCAGUUUUGUCAGAGCAAAUAACCGUUGUACAUCCGAGCGUCUCGACACUUGGCAACUUCCGAACGAGAGCAUUUUUUUGAGCCAUCUUACGUGUACCAAGAGCCAAGCAGGUUGUGAUAACAGCUGGUAGACCUUCCGGAAUGGCAGCCACUGCCAAUGCUACAGCAAUUUCAAAGUAGUAUGUGCAUUUCUCAAAAGAGAACUUAAAAUUUGCUGGCCAUCCAUCUACAUAUUCCCAAGUAAGAAAGUAUUUGACAUUGAUAAGCCAUACCAACGCACAGAUAAUACCAAUUAUAAUCGUCAGUGACUCUCCAAACUCAUUCAACUUCUUUUUCAAUGGGGUGUCUUCUUCUUCCUGUGCAGCAGCAUGAAUUUGAGAAUGGACCUUACCAAUCUCCGUGUUCAUACCUGUCUGAGUGACCAAACAGAUGCAGUUCCCAUUCACAACUGUUGUCCCAGCAAAGACCAUACAUUUCUUUCCUUGAAUGUCUGUCUCCACUGCAACUGCUUUAUUCGUCUUAUUUACUGCUUCACUCUCUCCAGUCAACGAGCAUUGCUCGAUCCUAAUAGUAGAACUUAUCAGACUCAAAACCCUCAUAUCAGCUGGAACCUUAUCACCAACCCUAAGCUCAACAAUAUCCCCUGGAACAAGCUCCUUUGCAGGCAAAUUAUGAAUCUUUUUCCCUUCCCUAAUCACAGUAGCAUGUUCCGACUGAAUCUCCUUCAACGCUUCAAGCGCCUUCUCAGCAUUACUCUCCUGCCAUACCCCAACAAUGGCAUUCACAAUCAAAAUCAAAAAUAUCACCAAAGGCUCAACAAACGCCGUAAUUCCCAUCUCUCCACCUUCAUCACCAUCAUACCAAGCAAGAACAAACGAAAUAACAGCUGCAGCAAGUAAAAUUCUAACUAAAGUAUCAUUAAAUUGUUCAAGAAUCAAACUCCAAAUUGAUACUCCAUCAUGUUUUUCCAAUUCAUUCAAACCAUGAAUCUUUCUACGUUCUUCAACAUCUUCAACUCUUAAUCCCAAUUCUUUAUCAACCUUAUACUCCAAAACACAUUCUUGAACAUCUUUUGCCCAAACAGGAAAAAUUUCCGGAUCCAAAGGUAUACUUUCUUUACUACUAAUUCUUUUCCCGUAAUCUUCCCCUCCUUUUCCCAUCGAAAUCAACGAAAUUUAACAAUAACAAAACAAAACGAUCUAGAUAUAUAAAACCCUAAUAAUGUCGAAUUUCGAUUAAAAAAAAACAAAAAGAUAAGAACACGAAUCAAUCGAAAUUACUAAACGAGAUUACCAGAUUCGAAGAAGAACGAGUUAAAUCGCUGAGUUAGAAGCAGGUUUCAGUGAAGUUUUGGAAUCGAGAGAGAGAGAGAGAGAGAGAGAGAGAGAGAGUGAAGGUUGGUUGGUUCAUCGAAAACCGUGAGAACAAGUAAGCUAUUUAUAUAUAUAUUGGUUUAAGAAUCCAUCGGAAGGGAAUGACGAAACUUCGUUCUCUACUUCUCUGUGAGUGUGAGGCUUUUCUUUGCAUUUAUUCCACAGAUUCUGUUGCUAAUAUUUCACCUUUUUACCACAUCAUUUCUCCAAUCGUUACUUGCCACGUGGUAUAUUUGCCAUUUGGCUUGAUCACAAGGUUUUUCUUGUUAGAGUUGGUAAAUAGUAAAGUGAUAAACUAAUAAUUACUUUUAAGUCUAAUUUGGUGCUUUUUAGCCCUUGGAAAACCUUUUAUUAAACAACCAGUUGUUGACAUAUUUCGAAUCAAAUCGACAACCUCUUUACAAUAACAACUUGAUUAAACUUGUUAUGUGUUACAUAGUAAAUGUACUUAAAGAAAACAAUAAACAAGCCAAACUGCUAAAAUUUUUGAAAAUUGGCUUGUCAAAACUUUUGUUUAUAAGGUUAAUAUUAAAGAUAUCUCAUGCUAAAAAAAGGAUGUUUUGGAUAUUAGUUUAAACCUAGGAAAAUAAUUGUACUAUCUAUCUAUUAUUGAAUUUGAAACUACUGUAUAUACUUUGUUUGUAUUUGCAAUGGAAUUGCAGAAAAAUGCACAAAAGCAUCCAUAUCAUUCUUCUCAAUGGAGGCAUUCUACAUACACAUAUGUUGGAAAGCCAAAUAAAACGACAAGUAAGUUGACAAUGCUGGUUUUAGCAUCAUUUGGGUUUUUUACAAUUUAAUCUACAUCCCACCAUCUUUUAAAUAACUAUAUAAUAUAUGUCACUAGAAACAUUAAUUUUUAUAUAAAAUUGUUCUAGUAGUAUUGGGUUUUUAGUAUAUAUAGAUUCCAUAAAAGUUUUAUGGAAUGGUUUUAUCUUGUUUAAAUAGCCCAAAACAAAACACAAGUCAAUUGAAUUACGGCUCAAAAAAAAUGUUUGAAAGCAAAGUUGCAACAUAUGUUUAUGAAUUAUACAAAUCAAUAGCUUGAGAAGCACGACUUGAGUUGACAUGCUCUCUACGACUAUACUUCUCUAUUCUCUACUAGCUACCACCUUGGUUGGUGCCCUAUGUGAAGUGGGUUGAUUUGAGCAUAUAUGAUGGAAUAACUUGUCGAUCACCUAUUCGUUUCUUUAUGCUUUCGCAUGACUUUGGUUAGCAAUUUGGUAUCAAGUAAUGUCCAUCGAUCACAUUACCAACCAUUUUUCCAUUUUUGGUAUCGUGUCCUGGAUUAGAUCAUAAAAAGUGAAAGUGAACUAUGGGGAACCAGAUUAUUAGAGUGUUCAACACAAAAAAUGCAAGUAUUCCAAAGUAUAUAAAUGAUUAGUAAAAUCAAGCUACAGUAUAUAGAUGAGUUGAGAUUGGCUAAAAUUAUAAGUGUGUGGAAACUGGAAACUCAAUAUUCCAAAUGUGCGAGUCCUUUAAAUGCAUUGUACGUGAUAUCUAUUAACGCAUACAUGACAUUUGUCCAUCUACACCUAUGACAUAUUUGUUGGUAUUGAUGCUUUUCUCUAACAUAUAAGCCAACAAGAACAGUAUUUGAAAUUGUUGUUUAUGUUUAUUUCGUCGAAGAUGUUACAGUAUUUGAAAUUGGGAUAUUCGAGAAAAACCAAACUCUUCAGUUGAAUUGAAAUGCUUGUAAUUAGUCCGACCAUGAUCAUUGUGGAAUGUGGAUGGCUAAAGCCACGGCUUUGGAUCAUUUUUCCAGAACGGAGCGAAAAUACAUAGUUCACAUCAUGCUGAUUUACUGCUGCGUGAUUAGUGUUCCAGCAAUUUGAGAAAGUUUGAAAAGCUGACUUUGGGACUGACACUAUCACAUUUUACCUGUUUUACACAAUCACACAAAGAAGUCAUGCGUUCAGCAUUCUACUUGAGAAUAUAACGUAAGUGCAGAUUCUAGUGAUAGUUCAUUGCAAAAAGAAAUGUGUCCUAUCGUGUAGCAGCAGUGUAUUUUCUUCUCCAUCCAUACUGUUGCUUUUCGAUUAAAGGUUGCAUAAUUGAAAACGUCCAACAGCAUGGCUCCUACUGCAAUUGAUAACAUUCUUCUUAUUUCAAUACUGUAUUAUACCACUAUGAAAACACCCAGGCUUUUUCUGCAACUCUGCAGAUAACUGGGAAGUUACAUUAAUUAACAGAACACAGUCUGAAAGUAAACCUAUCCUAUCUUGAUGAAAAUGAUCACCCAUAUCAUAAAUUCGUACCUUUCUUUCUUCCUGUCAGAGAUUAGACAAUGAAAAACACACAUCAGACUUAAUUUUGUUUUGGAAGGACAGGAGCUGGAAUAAUUCCCAAUCUCUUCCGGACAUCCUCUAGAUCCUCGUCAAAAUGCCGUUCAUAAUAUACAGAGAUGAGAUCUGUACAUCGCAAACCAGCCUUCGUGGCCCAUGGGAAGUAGUGCUGGAAAAAUAGUGCUCUCUGCUUCUCAUUGAACCUGACUGUUCCUCCAACGACUGAAAGUACACACAUAGGGAGGAGCAUUUGCUCGAAUUCUAUCACCUUGAGAGCUGACUCGCCAAUUAAGUUGGUAGGGAGCCCAAAAAGCGUAUGCCAGAAGUCAUGAACUUCACGAGCCCGCAUGGCAACAUAUGCCAGCUCUUCUGAAUCCAUGAACCGCACUGGUGGGCGGUCGUCCGGAGAAAAGUUCCUUGAUCCCAUGAACCUUGCAUAUGCUGCGCCAAAUGUGUUUUCUGGUAGGUCCCAUGCAUGCCCCACAUUAGAAGAUAUAACACGAGGGCGCUCCAGAAGUAUGGCCUAUGGAGAAUGAGCAUAAUUGUUCAAAAUGUCAAUGACAACAAUAAAAUGAAGAUCCAUCUAUUUACUGUACAUAGGAAAUCAAACAAACAAGAUUCCCGAGUACCCAACAACCAUGGUUAUGUUUUUUAUGAACUCAAGUGUAUGGCCAGUUUUUCGAAAAAGAUUUAAGUAAUACAGUUCUUAUAUGAAGGUCCCAGAUACCCAUAUUAUAGAUCUCACAAAGUAUGGAAUUCUCGCCUGAAGCCCUCGUUCUUUACGUAAAACCACGUGAUGUGGUGCUACACUUUCUUUUAAUUUAUACAACUAUUAUACAUCAACCGACCCCCUUACCCUCGUAAACACCUCCUUCCCCUUCUUCCACACCCUUCCCUGGUCAAGGUGGGAGGCCACCCCAAUACCUCGAGGCCCAAGCCCCAAGGCUUGACGAGUGAGCCACUAAGCAUCAUCUUGACUUCAUAUAGGGUUCCACGAUCUCGCACAUUUGAACUUGCAUUCAAAAUAUUUUCAUUAAGUGAUCCUAACACUCACAAGGCCUCCAGAAUGAUUGUGUGCAUAUACAGAAGAACCAAGUGAAUGAAUGAAAGGAGGGAUUCCGGCCUGAACAAAAUGCAGGAAAGGAAACAAUAAAGGAAAAAAAAAAACCUAGUUGAUAAUCUGGCUAUACAAUAGGUUUUAUCACCUCAUCAAGCUCUUUAUGAAUUAUAAAGUUUAACACAUCCGAACGAAAUGAAUAAAGGUACACUUGGUGCAUUGGAUAUGUAUGCACCACAUGUUCAGUCUGAUUGAUCCACUUUCCAUAAUAAGUUUGAACCCACUUGACAUAGCAAUUCAGUCUGAUUGAUGCAUAUGUGAAGUUGUCAAGACCAGUAUGCAUGGGAGACAGUCUUUUAUUUUCAUUGACAAUCCUGGUUCCCUCAAAAAAUAAAACAAAAAUAUUUCUCUGCCAUUUUCUUUAUCCCCCCAAUCUUAUUUCUCAUAUCAAUUACCAAUAUUGACUCACCUUUAACACCAGACCACAUCAAUUGUCAUUCGGACAUUGAGCCUACAAUGUUAUCAUGAAUUACUUUUAAGUAUAAACCAUCCUGCAAUAGCUUCCUUUACUAGCCAUUGAUCAAGGUAAUGGAAAAGACAGUGCAGUUGAUACGAAGAUAUUGGCGCGACAAUGUUAGAUAGAAGUACUCAUUGCAGUAAUUUACAAAGAGUAAGUUAUCUCCCAAAAUGUUAAUAUGAAGCGUGUCGAGACAAUGUUCAGUCGGAUAUGUACAAUCAGUUUAACCUUUUAAUCCAAUAAGUAUUAAUUCUCUUCAAUUUUAAAAUUUUGUCUACAAAAUCCCCUUAAUUUAAAUACUCAAAACUACUAUUAUAUUGAUCACAAUUCAAUAAAAAGACUACCAAUUUAACUAUUCAAGGUUAAAUAACAAGAAAUGGGAAGAUGAGUUACUCUGCCUUCUGGGGUCAUUUUCAUUCUUUGAAGAACUCUUUCAAAAAAAGGUUUUCCAGUUGUUUCACCUAAUGCCGCUAUUAAAUCAGCUCUUCUUGGAUCCAAAAGUGCACCAAAUGCCGAACCCAAUGCAACUGCUGCUUGUUGCCACCCCUUUAGCCGAAUAUGCCCACCACCACCACCACCACCACCACUACCUGCUACCAUUUCUCCACUUCUCAGAAACAGUUCUAAUUCAAUCUAAUUCAUUGAAAAGAUAAAAACUUUUAAAGUUCAGGAAAGAAGAACGACAGUUUAUGAGAGAAGGUCAGAAGGUGAGAGCGAGUUUUUGGGGUGGUUCGGCAUUAAUGCAUUAUUAUCGCCUCUGUUUGACUCAAAUGCCGCUGAAUAUGAAGUGGAUAGAAUUUGGACUUUGGAUACUCAACAUAAACCCAUUGGGCCACAAAAAGCCCAUGUAGAAUGAUUUAGGGUUAGUGGGCUACCCAGCCCACAACAGUGAUGACUGAGUCACCAUAUCCUUAUUUUGAUUUUGCUAAGCAACUCUUCCAUAAUAUUUUUCUUGAUUUUGUAAAUCAAGUUAUCAAGAUAUGGUGAAAGAGAAGGUUCAUGGAGACUCAGAGUAAUAUAAUAUUGGCCUGCAUGCUACUCAUCAUUGAUCUCCUUAAUAUCAAAAAUAAAAACAUCAUAAUCAAACCAACUGAAGUAUGGAUUAUAACUUGUACAACUAUCCUUAAAAUAUACUAAUACACAACAAAAAUGUUAUGUAAACCCCCAAAACUAACAAAUUUUCACUUAUAAAUGAUCACAUAAUCCAUUAAUUUAAUCAUCAAACUCUCCAUUAAAUCAUCUCAUUACAAUGAACCAUUAAUAGGUAUCACUUCAGUUGAUCUGGGUUCGAUCCUCGCUGUUAAAAAAACGAAAAAUAAAACAACCCCUUUCGACUUUCGAGAGUGGCCUGGCAUGGGCAACAUGAGCUAAUACAACAACCUGGAGUAUAGAAAUUGUAAUGUAUCUUUCUCUACGCCUACCACAACAAAGCAGAAAUUAACUCAUUACUAAUGAUGCUAUAUCAUUCCAAAUACUUAUCCAGAUACGCACUAACUAAGUUUCCACAUCUAUCUUUCUUCCCAUCUAAGCUUUUUCCUUUUGGCCUUUUGGGUUUAUAACCAACAACUCCAUUUCAGAAAUCUGAUCUUCUGAGUUUUGAUAACAAGACACUACAUGAGUUCCAAGUGCAUAUCUAGCUGUGUGGAUGAUGCUCGGGUACCUGUCAGAGCAACUUAUGUGAAUCUAUACAAAUGGCCAGAAUCUGACGCGGAAUUCGUGAAGUGGGUUAGUUCGAAUGUGCCAAAGGAUGGGAAGAAUUGGAGUACUACUGGCACUUCACCAAGAGUGGUGGAUAGUAUUUCAUGUAGACAAAUGUACUUGAGAAGUUAUACAUUUUCAAGAGAGGAAACUGUGCCAGAGAAGACUAAGAAGUGUUUUGGCAGAGUUAAAGGAAAAGCUGGUCACGAAAAGAGAAGAAAAGUUGGUGGUGGUGAUGGUGAUCGUGGUGGUGGAAAGAAGUCCACAGGAAUGAAGAGAGUAAAGCAGAUAUCAAUGGCUGCAUUCUGCUCCAUCUUCCAUAGAUUAUUGUCGUGCACUACUAGUGUUGAUGUGGUGGAUUAUUGAUUUGCAGAGUUUUCAGUGCUGCUUAUGCAAGUUCUUCUGGAUAGCUAUAAUGAUUUGGGGAAAAAUUUGCGAUUCAUGUACAUUUGCAGGUGUUUGUUCUGGAAAAUUUUAUUCUAAUUUGCUUAAUCUUGUUUAUUUGGUACAUUAUGGAUUGUGUUUAUCAAAGAAACAAACAUAUCUGUAUUAUUUUUAGAAGGAUAACAUAAUUUUCGGUCGCAAUAGUAGUUCAUCGCUGAUUAACAUGCAACUUAAUUUGUUCUGUCAAGCUACAACUGGAAAUCAAGAGAUUUAAUACAAUAUUACAUGUUAAAUGUUGCAAAAGUAGUCUGUUAUUGAAUCAGAUGAAUUUCAUGUCUGAUUACAUUGAUCAAUAUACAACCAGAAGUGUGUGAAAGUGUGAAACAGUGAGUUAUCCUACUUGUUUUGUGUUUAUGUCUGCUAGUUCAGAGGGAACUAUAGUGCGAUUCAUGGCUCGAUGGUGCUCUGUUAAGGUGGUAGACAGGUAUAGUUAGACUGUUAGACAGCUGAGUAGGUAUCUUUCCUGAUUUAGGAAUGUGGAAUUUCCUCAUUUGAAGAGAGAUUUGCUUUCCAUAUUUUAUGAUCUUCCUUCACAAAAUUUAGUCCAAGCAUCUGGAUUCUGUAGAUCAAACUCAGCAUGUGCGUCUUUUUGUUUGAACUGAAAUGAUCAAAUGAACAAUCCGAAAACUUUGUCCAAGCAUUAGGAUGAGUAAUUUUCUGAUUAUCAUUUGUUGUAAAAUGAUGUUUGAAAAAUUAUUAACUUUUUAAUCAUUUUCAAUGACUAAUCUUCAAUAUCAUAAUCUGAGGUUCAGGGAACUUUGUUUGGAAAACAGAAUACUUCUGUCAGUUGAACCUUAAUUUGCAGAAGACUAGAGAGAAAUGGAAUUCACACACCAAACAGUCAAACACUGUUGCAAAGAGAGAAAUAGGUCCUCCACACGGCCACACCAAUACAAUCAUGAAAAUAACACUUUAUAUUGCUUGUUGAUAAAGAGAAUUCAAUACUUUUGCUACCUUAGUAUUCCUUGUUCAUUACUCUAAAUCAUUACGACAGACACAAUAAUAAUCCUUUAUAUAAUAAAUUAUAAAUGUUUUCGACAGGCAGGGGCAGGCGGCAGUGAAGAUUAGUGUUGUGUGUGCUUGAUGGUAUGAGUUGUGAUGAUUCAUAUUUGGUGGGGUGUGUUUAGCCCCAGCAAAAUAACCCAAGAAAAAGCUGUUGACACAACGCAGAUUGCAUGGUCUCAUUAGAUUAAUCACAAGAAGGAUUAAAACAUACAGUAUAUUAAUCUUUAAUCUGAUGAGUACAGACACUUUUACAGUUUACUUGCAGGCCUUCAGGGGUGGGGAAACAAAAGACUAGGACAACAGAGAAUUUUGACUAAGUCUCAGAUAAUUGUUAAAGAGCAUGUAAAAGCAGUAGUGUAAAACUACUGCUUACUAGAUGGCUAAGAAAUAUUCUAAAAACUUGUUCAGGAUAGUUUCAGUCAUUGUUGUAGAACAGCAAAGAGCCUGGCCUCUAAUUUUCUGACAAUGAAGCAUGGUUUAGAAUUUCCUUACAUAGCACUGUCUCUAGCUAGUUAUGUAAAAGAACACUUGAUCCUGAGAGGAGGCUAACUCCAGUCUCCAGAUACACACCUAAUUAAGGGAACUUCAACGUUAAAUCACUGCACCCAUUUCACCAACUCAUAUGCAAAACUGUUAAAAACUAUUAAUUCACAAAAUCUAUCCAAUAUACCUAAAGCCAGCAUUUGAUAUCUAGAUGCAAUUUGAAAGCUCAAGGACACACACUCCUUUUUCAACACAUCGUCACUUUAUUUCAGAAAUAGGAUAUCAAGAGUGAAGGAUUUGUCUGAUACACUUACUGGACCGACGCACAUUGUCUUAUGAGAUUACCACUUCUUCAUCCACAACUAAUGAACAAUUCUGAGACUAGCUUUGGGACCUUGUACUACAUUUGGCAUUUAACAACUACCUUUGGAAAAUAUGAUGUCACGAAAGGAAAGAUCAAUAAGUGUGCCAAGAGGAAAAAAAUGUCAUUGUCACAUACAUUUUUUUCACUUAAAAAUCUAUGUUAAGUUUGCAAUUCAUCUCUUCAGUUUCAUAUUAUAUCGUAGUCUUUCAAUGCUUAAUUGGGAUCAACUGUGUAAGCAAGACUGAAAAGAAAAUGACGCUACCAGAUAUUUUAGUGUAAAGUGAGCUUAUGUCCUUCGAAGAAACAUAGUUAUCAUAAGACAAUACCAAUACAAGAAAAAUCAUACAUGUAUUCGAGCAUAAGGAAAAAAUUCAGAAGCAUAACUGAUUACUCACAAGACCGUGGUCAAUCAUAAUAAUCUGUACAUGUAAGAAGGCAUUAAAGAAAGAGAUCAAACAAAACUGUGUCAAAAGGCUUAGACAUUUGUUUCGCGUUUUACCUGCACAUUAGGGAAACCACCAUGCUUUGUGGAAUAUGAAUCUGGAGAAUUAUGAGGUCUCAAGGCAGUGCAUCUUAAGUACAGAACAAAUCACAUCCAUCUUCAAUCUACCUCCCUUCAGCUUUUACUAGUUGUGAAAAGACCCUACUCAUUGAAGUACCCGAGAGAUCUUCUAUCGCACUAAAUUGUUCAGCAGUCAUACUAGUUUCCACGAAAGCAGCAUUGCUGACAAGUGGGGAGAUAUCACCUAUCUGGUUUGUACUGUUCUCGUAAGGAUCACUUUGGUUUGUUGCCUCUUGCAGUUGAAGAGCGUACUCCAGAUUCCAUAAAACAUCUGCCAUUGAAGGUCGAUCAACACCGUAAUCAGCAAGGCACUUCUCUGCUGUCUCACCAAAUUUCCUGAGAGAAUCAGGUCUUACUUUACCGACAAGAUUAGGAUCUAUAAUCUGUUCCAACUUUCCGGUUCUUUGAUACUUCAUUGCCCAUUCACCUAAGUUCACCAUCUCUCUCGGAAGGGAUGGAUCAAUAACAGGCCUGGCACAGAGGACUUCAAACAAAACCACUCCAAAGGAGUAAACAUCUGACUUUUCAGUCAACUGUUGCCUUCUGAAAUAUUCUGGAUCAAGAUACCCAAAACUCCCUUUUACCGCAGUACUGACAUGUGUCUGAUCGAUGUCAGGACCAGUCUUCGAGAGCCCAAAAUCAGCAACCUUAGCCAUAAGAUUCUCGUCAAGUAAGAUGUUUGCAGACUUAACAUCGCGAUGGAUGACUGCUUUCGUGGAACCAGUGUGAAGGUAAUGAAGUCCUCUAGCAGAUCCAAUGCAAAUAUCAAGCCUCUGCUUCCAAUCCAAACAAGGAAAUUCUGAGCCAUAGAGAUGACUCUUCAAGGUCCCAUUCUCCAUGUACUCAUAAAUAAGGAUCAUCUCGUUUCUUUCAUCACAGUACCCAAUCAAUGAGACCAGAUGGCGAUGGCGGAACUGGGAUAACAUAUCAAUUUCAGUCAGAAACUCUGCAAGCCCCUGUUGUGAUUGGGGAUUACCUCUCUUUGCUGCAAUUUUUGUACCAUCUUUGAGAACUCCCCUGUAAACCUUCCCGAAACCUCCAACCCCAAUAACCCAACUCUCAUUAAAGUUGUUUGUCGCGUCCUGCAAUGCCGCAAAAGGUAUCCGGUACCCAAAAUUUGAAGCAGUGGUACCAAUUGUAGCAUGAGAAAAUUUACUCCCCGUACUUUGAGUAUUUCCUCCGUUCAUCAUGAAAGGGACCCAUGUCUUUGAAGGCUGAGUACGUAACCGUCGUCUUUUACACAUCAUGAACAUUACAAUAGCAACUGCCACCAAGACAAAGGCACCAGCGGCACCCCCUGCUAUUAUCGCAGUUUUCGUCUUUGAUUUUUGUGAUGAGGAACGGGGUACAAACAAUCCAGUAUCAAGGCUUCCAUCAGAAUUAUUCAUUUUCAUGACUUCCAAGCCAUUUAGAAUCGCAUUGGGUUGAGCGUCGUUAACAUUACUUGAAGGGCCAAUACUUACAAUAAGCUUUCUCAUGUCACUCACUUUCACAAUAUAAUCUCUAUAUACUGGAGUGGCCAAGGCAUUUGUCAAGUCACUAAGAUCAAAGUCCUGGGAAACCAAUCGAGAAUCUAAAUAAACAUUAAAAUAGAGCUGAUUAAGAGAGACACUCACGAUGUCACAAAAGUGAAACCGAAUCAGAUACUCAAAAUCAGGAUGUACAUCAAACUCCCAUGUCACAUUGAAAUUGCUAUUUGAAACUUCUGCUGUGUUCAUCCCUGCGGCAGUACCAUAGACAGCACUAGGAGCAAUUUCACUCGUAGCCCAACCUGGCCGAUAAUUGACUGCUCCUAUAUUUGAAAUUGAUUUGGCGAGAUUCCUGUUCCGUAAAAAGCCUUGAUCCGUUUCCCAACUUCUUCCAAGGGUAUCAUUUGAAGGAGAGAUCACUGGUCCACCCAUAUUUACCCUAUGGAUUGUCUCCAAUGCCUGUCUCCUUAAACCUUGGUAAUUCCCCAUUGGAUUAAUAGUUUGUGCAUCAUCUGUAAUGAGUGCAUCAGGGACUGAAACGACUUCUAAGGCAUUCAAGAAGGCAAAUGAAUUGUCAGAAGGAGUAAAAGUAAGAACAAGUUCGUUCGCAGUGAUGUUUACAGAGAAUUCCUUGACCAUAGAACCAUUACUUGGCUGAAAAUUAUUGAGAAGACCAAAUUGUUGGGUACUAACAGAGAAUUUAGCAUUACUCAUGUUAUAACUUUGGAAGACAAAUGGUAAGAAAUGAAGUCGAAUCCAAUGUCUACCAGGACUUCGGAUAGGAAAUGUAUACACAGAAACCCCAUUGAAAAUUCGAGCUGUCAGAUAAAUACGCGAACCAGAAGGCGAUGAGAUCGAAUUUGGAGUUGUGUUUGCAAUGAUAUUUUGUGGGGUGGAAAGCAAUCGAGAAACAGAAUUAUCAGAAACAAAGACAAGAUUACCGACAGAAUUGUUUGAAGAAGAUCCACAAUCAAUCAAAUAAUUGUCAAUAGGAAUAAAUUGUCCAAGACAACAAGUACAUAACAAAGACAAUAUGAAUAAAACCAAUUCAAACAAUUUCAAUACUGAAACACUACCCAUCACUUAAAACAACAUAAAGAUUGAAACUUUUCUACUCUUUCAAACUCAACUAGAAAAAAUAAAACAUACCCAUUUCUUCUUUUCAACAACUGAUGAACAUUUUAAUGAAAUUGAAUGAAAAAAACACCAUUUGAGAUGAAAUUAAAGAAAACCCAAAGCAAAUAUGAACUUAAAGAAUGAAAAAAACAAAAAAAUUAAAGACAGAUUCAACUGUUAUUGAAAAACAGAAAUUCUAUUUAAUGAAAAAAAAACAACUUUUCGUGUAAGACCUGACCUUCUUUCUUGUAUUUUGCUUGCUUUGAGAAUUGAGAUGGUGAAAGUGAAAGUGAAAGGAAGAAUGGGAACAAAACAAAAAAGUAACAUUUGAAAAGGAAAACUGAAGAUUUACUAAAAGAUUUGGCUUUUUCACAUUUAUAUUAAAAAACAUUUAUUGAAUUCAGUUGUUGAAAUGUCAUCACUUUCAGCUUCUACCUUCUUCAGUGGUGUGACUCAGUCUCUCUCCCUCUCUCUUAACUAAGCUAUAGAUUCUUCAAUAGCCCUCUUCACACUGCAGUUUGUUUUGAAGAGAUUAGAUGUCAUGUUCCCAGUAGCAAAACAAUUCACAACAAUAGUUCCAACCACAUCUCGAGAAAUAUUGAAACCUUAGAUGGAUUUGAAUUUUGUUUAUCAACAUGCCAAUUUUUUUUUAGUAAGAUUAGUAAUUUGGUUUAAAAUAAUUUUAAAUAAUCACAUUACGCGUUGAGAUAUUGGUUUUUGUUUUUAUGUAAAAAUAAUAGGGUUAUUUUGUAUUCGGUCCCUCUAGAACAUUCAUAUUUAGCAAGUGGUAUAGAGUUUUUCAAUUAUUAGCAGUUGGUCCUUUUUCCGUUAUUUGACUGAUAGUCAACUCUGUUGACUGUAGUCAAACCAUCCAAGUUUUUAAAAUACCUAAACUACCCAUGCACAUGUUAAUCAUGUGCAUUUUUAUGAACAACAAAUAUCAUUCUAUGCUUCAUCCAAUAGUCCAAAAUAAACCAAUAAAUAGAAAUAAACUAAACAAAAUAAUAGAAAUAAAAAAAACAAAGAUAGUGUGAUAAACAACAAUAACAAAAUCUUGCAAAGUAAUAUCCCAUCAAUCUAACAACCCUCAAUACAAAAUCAAGAAAACCAACCCCAAAAAUUAUCAAGAUUGAAACCCAAUUUUCUUUUAAAGCAAUCGAAAUUGAAAAGCCAUUCUUUUUGUCAAGCAAUUGAAAAUGAAAACCCAACACUUAUUGUUCUUGUAUAAAUACUUAAUACCCAUAGUUCUUGCCAAACAAUUAAAAUUAAAAACCAAAUACCCAUUUUUCUUCUCUUACAAUUUGGAAACCUAAUACCCAUCUAUUGUUCUUGUCAAGUAAUAGAAAUUGAAACCCAAUACCCAACAAAACCAAAACAUUCUCUGUACCUCAAAGAUGAAGAAGAUGAGAAAGAAGCUUAAAAAAUAUUUUAUUUUAUAAACCAAUUCAUAAAAAUGAUUUACAAAAGUGAUUCAUAGACCAAGAGCAAUAAACUUUGAAGGAUGAAGAACAAUGGGUAUUGGGUUUUUCAAAAUCAUUAAUGGGUAGUUCUUCAUUUGCAAAUUUAAGUGAUAAAACUUAUUCUUUUGUCAAUGUAGAGUUUAAAAAUUUAUUUUUCUUCUCACUAAAACAUGUGCCUCACACGUGCAUGGGUAGUCUAGGCAUUUUGAAAAAUUGGGUGGUUUGACUACAGUCAAUUGAGCUGAUUGUUAGUCAAGUAACGGAAAAGGGACUAAAUACUAAUAAAUGAAAAACUCUAUACCACUUGCUAAAUACAAAUGUUCUAGAGGGACCAAAUACAAAAUACCCCUAAAAAUAUUUUAGAAAUUUAUAAAAAAUAUUAUUUGUUGAAAUGGAUUAAUGAUUGAGCAUUUGAGCAUGAUCAUCAACAUGACUUUUUAAAAAUUAUUUAGCUUAAAUUAAGUAAUUAACACCACUAGGUGUCGAAUAUAAUUGAAAUUUUUUUUUUUUUGGUUAAAAAUAAAAAUAUAAUUGAUAUAAAAUGAUAAGUUUGACAACAGAACAGCAUGUUCACAUCUGCUAUAAAUAAAUAAAAAUAUGGGGUUAGAGUCUUAUUAGAUUUGACUCACCAAUUGGCCAAUUCUGAUUUCAAUUUGGUUCAGCAGGUAACCUAACCCAUCAUUGUUUUUUGUUUGCAAUUGGCAUGGCAGCAUGAUCUAGCUUAGCUGGAAUCUGGAUGAAACAUACUACAUACAUGGAAAAGUCAGGCUUUACAGCCAUACUUGACGGCUAAAUGGUCAUAUAAAAUGUGCAAAGUUGACCUUAGCAUGGCCAUCUGUCUUACUCUCACAUUGUUUUACUAGAAAACCAAGUACCAACCCAAUAAUUUAGCCAUAUGUGAUGGAAUGGCAGCUGAGCAGAUAGUUUAUGUGAUAAAACGCAUAUGCCUUCGUUUUGGCCUGCAGUUGCAAUAAAGACCUUGACAUUCUAUAUUGCCUUGAUAUUGAGAUUUGCGCCUAUAUGUGACAGACAGACAGACAGACAGGCAGCAGCACAGGUGAUUUUGCUUGUUUUAGCCUGCAGACGCCUAGCAUGCAUUAUAUGUUAUAUUGGCUAUCUUGAAUCCAGUUUGUGUCCAUUGCAAUGUAGGCAUAUACAUAGUUCCUCUGGUUCUAAACACUAGGUUUGCAGUUUGCUAUACAUGUAUGAAAACAUAUUGAAUAAGUUGUAGUAUUAGAGUCUAGAGAAAUUUUAUCAAUAGAAAACACCUGCGAAACUGGUAAGUUAAAACAGUUCCUUUGCGGGCGGCCUGUAAAGUACUGAAGAGAGUUCAUUUCUUCUAAGGGUUAUUGAGGCUGGGAGGUGUCUGUUUGGGUGAAGGCUUCAUCUGUAUACCAAGGUGUUAGGUUUAGGUCCACACAAAAAUCAUCUCCUGAGUCACUGUCGAUAGUUGCUCCACCAUCCCUCGAAGCCUGCAACAAAAAGGCAGCACUAUAAAUACCGAAAACAUGGCCAUGUCCUACAUUUUUCAUAACACAUGAAAUAUUGUACAGACAGUAGUCUUGUCAAUCAACACUAAGUAAUUCAGUAGUUUAGUGAUACACACUCAUACAGAAAGAAACUUGUUACUCUUGAACUAUUAUAAUUGUACAGCAAAAUCAAAGCCAUAUUCUCUGAAUAUGCUUUAAAGUUGAGAAAGGCAAACACCACAAAUAACAUGAUCAGCACUAAGUUUUUCAUGUUUUCAGAUAUAUAUUCAAAAUUUAAUACCAGAUUGACUUCUUAUAAUAAAAAAUGGACUACACAAAGAAGAAUGGUGCGCGACUUCGUUAAAAUUACUCCAUAAUUAGUUUAUCAAUAAGUUCUAUUGGGAACUCGGGUUACUUUACGAGGGAAACUUGUAGCGCUUAGAGUCAACCUAGUAUCAUUAACCAAUAAUAAACUACUAGUUAGUUUCUUCACGACCAUUUGAUAACCAUUAACGCAACAUUUUUUUUUUUUUUGAUAAACAUUAGCACUUAAACAUGAUAUCGACAUUAUUAGAAAUUUAAAUUUACAAAUUUUUAGUUGAGUUAACCAUUGCAUAGUUGGAAAAUUUACGCGUAAUUAAGCACAUUGUUACCCAUUGAAUCAUGAUAAACUAGUAAAACCCGUGGCGCUGCCACGACUAUCAUUAAUAAUUAAAAGAUAGUACUUUAAAAAAUAUAAUUCUUUUUUUUUAUUUAAAAAUAUAAUUGUUCUGACGUUUUAUAGUCUUAGGGACAUUGAUGCAUGGAUAAAAUUGUUGAUCUAAAUUAUAAAUAAUCACAUGAUUGGUCCCUAUAGUCAAAUAUUGUAAUGAUAAAAACUUUGCAUCAUAGGUGUUAACAUUAAGCUACUUCUAUAACACAACAAAUGCUCAGUACAACUGCGCAAAACUGAGCAAGUUUCCGACUGUCAGAUACUAAGGUGAUGUUGGGUCAACCAUUAUUUAUUUGAAGUAAUUAUUCUUAAAAAUAUAAUAAUUUUAAAGUAAAUAUCUCAAACAGCUCCAGGUAUCCAUUUGAAAUUUCUUGUAUAUCAUCUUCUUUUUCAUCAGGUCCAUUUCGCCCAUAUAUGUAUCCUCUUCUUCUUCUUCUGGUGGUAGAUCUUCUACUGUUGAUCUUAUUAUUUCCAUUAUUUUCUCCUUUCAGAUUGUUUUCAAAAAAGCAUUUGGAUACAUUAUUUGUCCAUAAUAACUUGUAAGUAUGCCAUAAAGGUCAACUGCAUACCAUCCGUCCGUUAUCAAUAGUAAUACCUUAAAAAAUUAGCUCUAUCGUAUGGUCUGUGUCCAUCCCUAAGCGAGUGCUUAACGUACUUUGACAGAGACAAAAAAACCAUCAGUUUGAUGUUAUGAACAACACAAAUAUCUAUUCCACUCAAGAUAAUCAUGUGAUGUAUAAAUAAAAGUUAAAAUCACAUAUGGUAUGACGAAAUGAACAACCAAUUUUUUCAAAGAAACCAUUUAAUAGAAGUUUGUGUGACCAUAAUUUUAUAAAAAAUAUGAUGACAUAUUCCUAUUGAAAAUACUACCUUACAUAAUAAUAUGUAGGAUUUUCUCAAAACAAUAUAAAUAAAUUAUUUCAUUGUUGUUGAGAUUCUCUAUUUUGACGUUUGACUUAUCUUUUGUAGUAUUUGUAACUUCUCUCCAAUGACUGUUUCUUUCUUAGUCUUUGUUUGUUCGUAUCUUUUUUUUUUUUUUUCCGAAGAAUACCUCUAUAAUCUCAUUUGUUUAUUUUCAGUCAAUGAGAUACGUUGAUUUUCUUUUUGACAUUUUGAACCUAUAAUUUUUAUUUUUAUUUUGAUAAUUUGGAUAUCACUACUGUCAUAACUUAUUGUUGAAAUUGUUGGUUGUUAGAUUAUUUUUUAUUUACAUAAAAUGCUUUAAUCCCUAGAUUCUUUAAUAGCCAAUUCCUCUAGUCUUUGAAUCUCAAAUGAUAUAUGAAAUUAGACAUCCAAGGAAACAGUAAGUAACAUGCUAUUUUUAUGUUCUACCCAAAAUUUAGAUAAAAAAGAAAAAAUCACCUUCAGUACUUGGGGAACAUAGUGAGCUCGUGAAGAAUGUUUGGGCCAAUGUUUCAGCCAUAUUUAAGAUCAGUUGUUUUGCUAGGAACAAUAGACAACAAUCUUGCAGGAACAUGCUGAUAGUACGCAUGCUGUUACUUCAACUAUUGAUAGCACUUCCGCCAAAGCUGAAGUCUAUCCACCACGCGAAACAACAUAGGCAAAGUUCUGAAGAGAUGAAAGUUUCAAGCUUGAGAUGUUGCUAUUGCUAUAUCAGAAGAUACCAAAAUACUAUUAAAUUUUGUUUACAAAAACUGUCUUGGCCAAUUGUACAUGAGGGUUAGAAUAGAAACCUUAGAAAAGUCAUAUACAAAUUACCAAACAAACUUUGAUCAAAAUUUCCUCUAAAAACCCCACUGAGUGGACAAACAAAUCCCCCUUUCUACUCAAUUUCUUCCGUCAGCUAUCUUCAUCUUCAUUAAAGACCAUGCUUCUCAACAGUUGUGUUAGUUUCUAAAGAUCGCAACGAUUUCGAGGAUGAAAACAGAUGUGUAACAUAUUAGUUCUAGGCUAGAAUGAUGACAAUAUAAAAAAAUUGAAACUAAUUUCAUUACAUGAUUGAACGCACCAAAUUGCAAAUUGUAGUAAAACUGGCAAUUAAAAUAUAGAUUGUAUAAAAAGGGUUUGAACUCAACCUCGAGGUUAAAAACCAUCAAACUCUAACAAAAUGAGCUACUUGAGGUAAAUAUGAAUAUUAUGCCAAAAUAUCAAAGCUAUAGUAAAUACAGAUGCUGGAGGAAGGGCUUGAACCUUCGACUUUGUGGUUUAAAAGCCACACGCUCUAACCAACUGAGCUACACCAGCUAAGCACGCACAACAUGCUAAAUGCAAACAUUUUAUUAAAAUACAUGACCUUAUGUUCCUAUUUAUAAUAUCUAUUCACGGUAAAAAACAUUGUCUACCCAAAUGUCUUGUGUUGCUCAAAGAAAAAUGUGAAUCAAAAUAGUACCGCAUAAGUAAAGAAAAGAUGAUUAUGGGAAAGAAAAUUGUAGGAUGAUCAUAUCAGAAAUUUAGAAUCACAGUGGUCAAAGUGUCUUGUUUUGCUUAAUCAAAAAAUUAAAAAAAAAAAAAAAAAAAUGUCUUGUGCUCUUAAGAGGAAAAAAUUUAAACUCAAGAAAGCAAGAGUUAAUAUGCUUUAGGCAGUAAAGCUUCAAAGGCUUCAGCCUCAUUCAAGCAGCUCAUGUUCAUGUCAUAGUUCAAUUGCUACUAACUAUCAAAAUUUAAUGUUAUUCAAGUGCAACAACAUCAAAAGCUAAGCUAUCAGCUCAUGUCAUAGUAGAAAAAAUGGAUUUGGAUCAUACUUAAGCUACUAACACAACCCAGCUAGCUUGAGUAUGCUUACAUUCUACCUCUACUUCUCCACAUGGUGACCCAUAAACAAUUUUUAUCUUUAUAUUUAUCUAUUAAAGUAGAUAGUGAGAUUAAUUGAUAAGUUACAAAAAUGAACAUGGAGAUCCGCAGUCAUAUAGAAAUACUGUAAAGUUAGCAAAUGCUUAACCUUAUUGAGACUUUGUAUCAUAAACGUCAUGAAGAUGAAGUAUCAUUUGAGAACACGAAUCUGUAACAAAAGCUUAUAUUUCGAAAUGGUUCCCAAUUCAAUAGAGUCCUCCUGUGGCCACUGGCAAAGUCUCAAAUAAUUGUUCGGAACCAUAGUUUACUUGUAUAGCAAACCAAAAUUUCACAUAAAUCAACAGAAAGUCUUGCAAGUUAGUUUUUGUUUUGGAACAAAAAAUAAAAUCCUUUGCAUUGAUAUAAAUUCUUAUCUCGACAAAGACAAAAUCAUAUGGGCUCUUAGUCUAGAUGGAAACUUCAGUAUCAAAUCAGCCUAGGCAUUUCUGGGUGGAGUUGUUACACAUGACAGACUCAUCAGAAGAAGGCUUCUGUACCUAUUGUUCAGUGUAGAUAUAAAAGAAGUCAGCUCGGGGGAGCAUUAUAAGUGGAAUACUUUCAAUGGGGGAAGGGCAAAACAAUGGGGAAAGUGUCAAGCUAACGUUUUAGGAUUUCAACAGUAGUUGAAAUAAAACUUUCUUAGUUAGUAAAACAGGGAAACAAAACAAAACUGCUAGUUUCUUGGUAGGGUCUUAAACAAAGACUCAAACAAUUUUUUUGUGUUUGUAUGAUAACAUAGAUCAAAACUGUAUCCUAAAAAGUGAAAAUAAAUGUAUUAACCUCAACAUAGUAUCCAGAAGGAUACUCAACUACAAAAACAUCCGAAGGAAUGAAGGAGGCAGUAUGUAUAAAUCCGAAUCUCAUUUACUUUUUAGGCUCCAUUUGACAUGGUUUAAAAUUUAAAUUACAAGCAUAUGCCAUAUUAGUUAAAGUACUUAAUCAAAUUGAAUAUUUCUUACAAAAUUCACUGUGAGGUGUUAAUUAUUGUCUACACUGGAUUUUAGCUUGUUCUUCUGGUUUCAAAACUUGUCUGCUAUUAUAUUUUGGGUCAUCAACGUAAGGCUAACAUCAGAGCCGAAGUCCACCCUCUUCAGAUUAUGACCGGCUCUAGAUACACUUUCAGCAAACUUUCCUUUGUCUAUUUGAUUAAUUUAGCUUGAUAUUAUUUAAUUCUAAUCUAUUAAUUUUUAAUUUUCAUACAUCAUUGUUUUUUCUUAAAAAUACAUUAGAUUAGUUUUUAGUCAUGUACUCAUUUAAUUAACUUAAAAUUCCCUCAUCACUUCAGUUUGUCUGUAGAAGAAGCCUAUACCCGUGUCAGCCUAGAUUAUUGCUUUAAGAAGGCACCAUUGUUAUUAGGCAAUGUGCAUUUCACAUGGAGGCCGAAAAAUAAGGAGAAAGCAAAAUCAGGGAAAGCUAAAUAAUAUUAUAUAUACAAAAGUAUGGAUUGAGAUUGGAAAUAGGAUGGAUUGGAAUCAUAUAUCAUAUAUAAGUGAUUUCGCUAAGAAGGUGUCGACAUGAUUUUGGUUACUAAUACGAUGAAUUUUUAGUUUUGCUUAAUGAAUGAAGAUCACUGUAAGACAUCCAAUGCUGAAUACAUGAACAUGAAUAACUGAUAUGACAGCAUAGCAUAUUAGUUUGAGAUGCAGCAAAGCAACUCUAGACACAAAAUACUCCUAAUAAUAUUCUAUAAAAAUUUAAUACCCAAUAGAGCUAAUCAGUGUGCAGUAACAAAUAUAUCCAAUUAUUCUUAACUUCAUGCCAGAGCAAUAUCUAAUAGAUUCAGGAGUGAUGAUUGUAUAUAAAAAUUAAAGGAAUAUAAUCAAGUGAUUUCCCAAUCAACAUACAAUUUUGUGUUCAAUCAAAAAGUACAAUUACUUUGGAGAAAAUCCAAUUUCUAGAUUUGUAAAUAGAUGGAAAAAUGCAUUGAUGUCCUGAAGAGUGAUGAAAACAUUAUGCCGUGACUCUAGACAGUUAAAACCUAAACCCAGAAUUCUAGAACAUGUGGUCCUAACAUAGAAAUCUGGCAGCGGUAUUUAGCAGUAGCCUAUAAAAAACCACAGUAUGAAUGUUGUGUUUGGGUAAAUUACCCUCAAUACCACUAACUUGCAGCUAAUGUCUACCUUUAACAAAAAAUGUUCAUCUUAAUUGGGUGUUCGAAUUAGAAAGGACUGCCAGUUUCUCUGGUAAGUCUGGCAUGGGGUCGAUUGUUGCUCAGGAGAUAGAGGUGUAUUUUGUUAAAUCAAACUUUCAUUAACCUGUUCUCUGAAUAAUCUUAGCAUUCGUGAGCCAUGUGAUUUGUAGCUGGCUUAUAAUUCUAGCUGUCAUGAGUUAUAAACUAAUUACGUAUUGAAUCUUGUAAUAAUUUCAUAUGGAAUAGGAAAUUAUCAUGUUAGAAAACAACAACAUACCUGCUAGCCAUGGUACAGAAUCAUGGCAGUCAUACCUUAUGUUUAGCAAGAAAUUAGUUUAGUAACUUGUAUUUGCAAGCCAGGGUUAUUUUAGAAAGCUACCACAUUUGUGUCUUUUCUAUGGUAUAAUAGUUAUAGACGCAACAGCUAAUUCAGUCGAGUCUGCAACAGCUAAUUCAGUCGAGUUUGUUGAUUAAUCAAAACGAAUUUUGUGUUCAAUAAAAAAAAUACAAUUACUUUGUAAAAAAUCCAAUUUUCAAAUUUGUAAAUAGAUGGAAAAACAUGGCUGAACGUAUCUAUGAACGAAUUUUGUGUUCAAUAAAAAAGUAAUAAUUGCAGAGAUGAAUUCAGAAGUAAUAAACGUAUCUAGUAUGGGAGCUGCCUUUUUCUUGUCAUAUAUCUAUAUAAUCGUCCUAGGUGGCUCCUAUGUGGGAAGAUAAAAUAUUGUUAGAAUUGGAGAUGCUCUUACAUUUCGUUACUAUCUUAAAUUUUUCACUUGAACAGUUAAUUUAUAAAUAAUUGCAGUUGAUCAAAUCAAUUUGGUUUGGAGUCUUUUCUUUCUAUUUUUGCGAUAGUAUUAAUGCUAUCUGUUGUGCGACAUAUGAUUCGUCAUGGUGGGCAUGACAUGGCAGUAAAAUGAGUGACAGAUGACUAAAUAAUGCUCACGUUUCUGUGAGAAAAUAUAUCUGAGUUUUACAAAAAUGUAGUGUUAAAAUUAGUAACAAAAACUGGCAACUGCCACAUUUUAGAUAAAAAAGAAAAUGGAUGAAAUUGAAGAGAGCAAAAUCAAAUGAUAUACUGUGAUGACAAAUUGAAGGAGGUAAACGUCCCCCUGAAGUGUGACCUAAACCUAUGCAGUCAUAGGUGCGCCUAGGCUCUGCGAGGUCUGGUGCUUAGUUGUAGGCGGUGCUCAGGUGUCUUAGGCUCAGUUUCGCUUUUAGUCGCCUAGGCUCCCGCCUAGGUGAGGCUAGGCUCUGGGUCUAGUUUUAGGUGUUUUUAACAAUUUGGGAUAGAUUUUAUCCAACUUUUACUUGAACCCACGAUAUUAAUUAAUCCUAAGAGAAAUACCUAGUUUUCUUAGUCUCUCUUUUCUACUCUUCUCUCCUCUUGCCUCUGCUUCUUCCCAUAAGGAUCUGUUGGGUUUGGAGAUGGAUGAUGUUUAAUUGAGUGGGAAGUUGGAACAUGGAACUUGAGCUUGAAAAGUUUUUUUUUUUUUUUUUUUUUUCUGCUAGUUUCUACUUGCUAAUUGCUAUUUAAAACUUGUGUAUGAUUCCAUUCUAUUGAAACUUAAGUAGUAUUAUAAAAUAUUAGUCUUGAACUCUAUACGACGACUGUUUGAUGUGUAUGUGCCUCUCUGGUAUUGUUUGUUAGUCACGUAAUCAAACAUGAAUGUAUGUUUAAGAAUCUAUAUCACAUAAUUAUUAUAUGUAAUUCACUAAUUCAGUAAAAAAGGUGGAUGUGCUAGGCUCACCCCAAGCACCUAGGUGUCGCGUCUGUCGCCUGAGUCUCUAACUGCAUAGACGUAAACAUAGGUCGUAUAACGUGCAGCUUGCGGAACUUGUGCCCCCAAAAAUGUUCAAAUUUACAGAUGUCACACUUAUCUUUGAUUCUGCCAAAGAAGAAUCAAGCAAGCAAUGCUAUCAUAUUUCAAAGAGGCAAAGCAAACUAACCUGCACAAUAAGAUACUUAUGUGAUGGACGAUAUAACAAAUGCAUUCAGGAAAACAGGAACAAAGCGAACAGUUGCAGCUUCACCACAUAUGAGGAAGUACAAGGAAACCAUAAUAAGCUUCCUGUCUCAGUUUGGGUUAAUUGCUUCUAAGCUGGGGAUGAAGAUGUAAACAAAUCAAUUCAUGGAAGGCCUAAAUUUAAUCUGAAAUAGCAACAACGCAUACGAAGAUGUACCUGUUCCAUACCAGGCGUAUCGGUAAGUAUUUGCACCAUUUGAUGUAGUUAUCCAAUACCUUCAGAAAGACCUCGGUGAUAGCUUUCUCAUCUAUUUUCUGAUAUGAGAAACAAAGCAGGACAAAAAAAAUGAUUAACCUCUAUUAGCAAUUUUACUACUCUUCGUGAACACGAAUAGAAUGAAGAAUUUAAGUGCCGACCAGUCCAGCAGCUCCGACCCUUGGUGAUCGUACCUAGAGGAUUGAAGAUGACUGAUAUGAUGAUGUUUUAUUACACAUUUUAAAAAUUUGAGAAGAGAAGAGAAGAGAAUGAGAUGGGGGCGGCCGGAAGGGGGAAGUUUGAGAAAGACAGAAGUUAGGGAAGAGAAGGGGAAGAAGAUUGGGGUUUUAAUCCUAGUCACCCUAAAUAUUAAUCUUAGUCAUACUAAUUUAGUCCUAGUCAUACUAAAUAUUAAUCCAGUCAUAGAAAUUAAUCCUAGUCAUAGAAAUUAGUCCUAGUCAAAUUAUGCACCCUUUGUAGAUUAUAAUAUAGAUGAUGGUGAAACUAUUGUGAUAAAUCUAUAUACAGUAUUAUAUAAUAGUGGAGCCUAGCAAGUGCCACAUGGCGUGUUCUCAACAAAUUGAGAAUAAAGCUCAAGCCCAACUUGAAACUCAAUUAAAAUCCAAUUGUAGACAACAAGUGCCACAUGGGGUUUUCUAGAGACUUCAAAAUAAAGCUUAAAUUUGGUGAGAGUCUAAAUUAAAAAAGAAAUCCACCUUUCCAUAUCAGCAGAGAUUUAUAGAAACCUUAAAACCCUUUAGAACUAAAUUAUAAGGGAGAUCUUAGUCACACCACACAAAUCUCUCAUGCACCACAUUUUUGGAUAAAUUUUAAAUAAUUAUAUUUUUACGAAUAUACCUUGUUAUUCUAUUUGGCACACCACACAUUACAUUAUUUUUUUUUUUAUUUUGUUUCUUUCAAAAAAUUUACUUGCCAAUAAAAUCUAGCAAAUAAGGAAACAUUGUCAAACCUGCAAAUAAAGAUAUCUUUAUUUUUUGCUAAAAAUAUACUAAAAUAAAAAAUCAACUAAUCUCUUCUUUUUUCUGUAACUCUUUUUUUUUUUUUUUUUCUAAAACUUCAUUGUAAAAUUUUCUAUAAAAAGGAAGUAUGGAACGUCAUGACCUUAAUGAAGAGAACAAUAAUCAAAAUCCAAUUGAUUUGAACGUUUUUUUAUGAUUUCAAUUGUAGAUGAAAGUAAACUCUCUCAUCUAGAAAUAUUGUUUUUAUUUAGAUAUAUUUUUAUCUUCUAGAUUCUUUAGAUUUAUUUCUAUAUAUAUAUUUUACUAUUAAAAAAAUAAAAUAAAAUGUGGUGUAGUGAAAGUUUUUUAUUUUAAUUUUCUUUGUGGUGUGCCUAAAGAAUCUUAAGAAUAUUUGUGGUAAACUAAACAAAUGUGGUGUAUGAAAGAUUUGUGUGGUGUGACUAAGAUCUCCCAAUUAUAAAUAUCUUUUUUUUUUUACUAAAUUCUUCUUCUUUUUAAAGUCCUUAACUCUAUAUAAAAACCAUAAUAAAAAUAAAAAAUAUUAAUUAUAAAUCUCUACAAAUUUAGGUUAAAAAGGGGUGAUUUUUUAUUUUAUUGAAUAACACAAAUCCCGGUGCAUUGUCCGGGUUCAACAACUUGUCAUACAGUAACUAUACUGUUCUAGCUCAGAGGUGACGACUCUUGGGCUUUGUGAUUGUUGUAUAGAAAUACAGGCCUCCAGUCCAUCUUUCUAGGCCCGUGUUAUCAUGGGCUCAUCUACUGGGUAACAAAAUUGAUCUGUUGGGUAAAACCUAACCCUCAGGUGUAAACUCAACCCGACCCGACUGCUAACGUUCUUCUCCAAUAAUGUCGAUGUUGUUAGGGUUUAUGAUUUUGCCGCAAAAACUUAAUGAGAAGAAGAAGAAGACGAAGAAAGAAUGAAUUUCUCUGAAGAGUGGAAAUCACUAUGGACAAUCUCAUCCGUCUAUGAUCCACCAUUACUAAUCUCAAGACCAGAUUCAUUAUCUCUAGGUCCACUUCUCUUCAAUCCUUGUUCUAAAACCCCAAUAAACCUUCUCUUAACAUCUCAAUUCAUUGCUCCUCGUUUCACAAUUCCUCCUCUUUCUUACCCUCGUGGUCAUCUUAAAUUACAACAAAACCCAUCUUCUAAUGAUUCUAAACCUUUUCUUCAAAUCCCCACACCAAACAAUAACAUUCUUCAAAAGCUUAAAUAUUCAAAGAAUGAAUUUUUGCUAUUAUUUCCAUAUGGGGAUGAUUUAAAUAAAGUGGGUUUUGUUAGAAUCUCUGUAAAUGGUUCAAAAGUUGUGAUUUUGAGUGAAAUAUUGGUGACAGAAGAAGAAUUUGAUAGUCGGGUUUUGCGAAUUGAAGUAUCACAGUUAGUUGUUGAUGAAAGUAUUGAAUUUUCAGCAGAAUCAGGUAAUUCAUCAGUUGUUGUUGUUGUUGGGUUUUUAUUAGCUUGUACUUUAAAUACUGUGCAUUGGUAUAGAGUUGAGAUUAGAGAUACAUUUUCGGAAUUGGUUUAUUUGGGUAGUAAAACUACGAAAUUUUGUAACCCUAUUGUACAUGCUUGUUGGAGUCCACAUUUGCCUGAGGAGAGUUUGGUUCUGUUGGAGAAUGGUAAUUUGUUCUUGUUUGAUUUGGAACCUCGUUGUAGAGCGAAUAAAUUUCCCAGGAAGUUGAAAGGAACUAGAGUCAGUUUUUCAUGGGAAGAUUUUGAUAUAGACUCGUGCAAAGGGGAAGUGAAGAAAAUUAGGUGGUUGAGUUGUGGAUUCAGUUGGCAUCCUCGGAUUUUCGUUGUAGCUGGUUCUUAUGGUGUUUUUCUGGUUGAUUCAAGGUUUGAGAAAAGUGACGUCAGUAUUUUGGCCAAAAUUGAAAUGUUUCAUUUGAAUCGUACUAUUUCAAAUAGUCAGUUCAUUGCAUUUUGUAUGGCGGGUACUGAUGGUUUCUAUUUUGCGGUCGCCACCGAGGAAAAUUUAUUUCUUAUUGAUAUUAGAAAACCAAUGAUGUCUGUCUUGCAAUGGGCUCAUGGUCUUGAUAAUCCUCAUUACAUCAAUGUGUUCAGAUUAUCCGAGUUAAGAUCUGUGGUGCAGGAGGAUAGAUAUAAGUGGGCUUCUGAUUCUGGUUUUGCCAUCUUGAUGGGGUCUUUCUUGAAUAGUAAGUUCAGUUUGUUCUGCUAUGGGCCGCCUUUACUAGCACUUGAUAAAUCAGUAGCUUUCAAUGUUUCAAAAUUCUGCAAUCCUUUUUAUGCAUGGGAGCUUCCAUCAGAGAUUUCCUUGUUGGGUCGCCAAUGCAAUUGCGGUGACUGCCUUUUAGGAGAGGAUAUAUCUAAUGCAUCGAUUCCUGAAUGGAAAAAAGAAAAGAUCUUGGGAUUCUGUCUUAUCGGUAAAGAUCUUUCAGAGUCACCGUCAGAGGCAGAUGGUUUGAGCGGGUUCACAUUGAUCAGGCUGGUAUCAUCUGGGAAGCUCGAAUCACAGAAGUAUACUGCCUCCUGCGAUUUUACUAGUGGGAAGAAGGAAGAAUUCGGGAAAAAAUCUUCACAGGUUGUGGACUCUUUUCUUGAUUUGUUUGUGGAUCAGAAGUAUAAAUUCCCUAGGAGAUUUAGAUACGUACGUCUUGAAUCUCUUCUUGGAUAUAUGAACGGUGAUCUUCCAAAAGUUCUGAUGUCUAAAAUGAAAAGAAGCUGUCUUGUUUCUAGUAAAACACCGCCAUAUACCGCAGACUAUUAUGAACGUAUUUGUGAGAUUAUGAAGGCUGCUGGGGUUGACAGCACUGGCUUCUAUCCUUCAAUUGAAGAAGUUCUUAAUAACAUCAGUUGGCCAAUGAACAUACAUGAGAUUACUUCAAGUAGGAUGUGGGGAGGCCUAAGUGUGGAUCUUCUACAGUUGGCAUUCACCAUUUACUCGGAACUUGUGGGUGUUCCUGUAGAGCAUAGGAAAAUAUCCUUGGAAGCUUUAGAUAUUCCAACCUUGCCCCAGUUGCCACCAUUUUUCUCAAAGACGCCUACCAGACGAAGCAGCAAGUGGUCGUGGAAACUUCAGUUAGGUGAUGUUCUUGUGGGCCCUGUGCUUCCGCUUCCUUUUCUACGAGCUCUUCAUAAAGUUAAGAAGAAGGACAGUAAUUGCUGGUAUUUAGAAGAGGAAGAAAAUGAGGAGUUAGAACUGACCCAGCAAUGCAAUGAGGUCAUGAUUGUGGCUAGUGAGAUGGCCUUAAGUGAAUCUCAUUGUGAGCUUAAUGAAUCACCUGCAGUCUCCCUUGCCAAUGAUAGCGAGGAGAGGUGGGGUGGAUUUCAAAAGCAAAAGCCAUUAUUCCUUUUCAAGCCCUGUGCCUCUUUGGAGAAGAUUGGAUCCACUUCAGAUUCCUCACCACGUGGACCUAUUUAUGAAGAUAACAACUUUGAUACAUUUGUUUCCAGAACUCAUGAGAGAGAAAAUACUUCAAACCCUGAAGACUUGGUGGGACUCAACUUUUUUGAUGACUUGUGCCCAAUAGAGCUGAAUUUUGAUUUUUGCGACAUAAACUUCGGGGUCAUGGAAUUGGAUGGAUACAAGAAGUUGAAGCAACAGUUUUCUAACUGGCAGAAUGAUAACACACAGUAUCAGGAUUUCUGUAAGUCGUUGAAGAUUAAAAAUAAGAGUUCGCUGAUUCCUUGAAUCUGCUGCAUCUUUUUGUUUUAUGGAAAAUUUCAUGAGCGUCUUAUAUCCCCUGCACUGCGAUCAAAUUGAAAAGGAGUAACAGAAGCUAACAAGAAAAAAUGCUCUUAAGACUGGUUUGUAUAAGGAGGCACCUCAUACUAUUGUAUACUUAACAAGGAGAAAAGCUGUUGUAAGUUUCUGUUUUUUUAUUUAAUUAUUUUCCAUUUGUUUUCUUGGAAUUGUUUUGAUGUAAAGUUCUUUAUGCAACCAUACUUCGAGGACACACUACUCAGUCUUUUAAUUGUAGACGUUGGUAGAUACUUCUAGUUGUCUGUAUAAAAUUUGCAUAUUGCCAAACACAGAUCUAGUUCUUUUUUUUUUUUUUUUUUUUUUGAUAAAUUAUGUAGUAUUGUGCUUGGGUCAACUCUAUAAUGAGACAACGCAGGCUUGAUGAAGGGGAGUGUUUUGCACUGGUAGAUAGACCACACACAUCCCUAUUAAUUUGCGUUGUUCUAAUCACUUCACUUUUCCUCCAAAUCAGAUGACAUUUUAUCACAUUUCUUCAAAUCACAUUGCAAUGUUUUGCAAUAUGCUCCUAUCCCUGCAGCAUCAAAAAGAGUUGUUUUCUUUCAAGAAUAGCAAAGAGUUCUCAUUUCCCACCGUCAUAAACAGCAACAGCAAAAUAUAAGAAACAGAAACCAGGACCUUAUGUCUGCAUGACGACGAUGAGUUCUUCUUCUACUACUACUCAAACCACGGUAACAACAACAACAACAAUAGAAUCUCUUACAUUUGAUGGAAUUUCCAAGUUUUUCAAUAUGCCCAUUGCUGAUGCAGCUACCAAUCUUGGUAUCUCUCUCUCUUUCUAUAUAAUUUUUAUUUUUUUGAAUGAGAAUUUGUAUUAAAGUUUGAAUUUUUCUUGGUUUUCGUGAAUUAAAUGCAUUUGGGGUUGUUGGGUUUUAUGUUUUUAGUAAUUUUUAUUAAUAAAAUGGAAUUAAAACUAGCUUAUAUAAGCAGAAUUUUCACUUUUUUUGUAGGAUUUUUGCAUAAUGGUAUGAACUUUAAUGUUAAAUAAUGCCUAAGUUUAUAUUUUUCUUGGUUUUCACGAGUUAAAUACAUUUGGGGUUGUUGGGUUUUAUGUUUUUAUUGAUUUUUACUAAUAAAAUGGAAUUAAAACUAGUUAUAUAAGCAGAAUUUUCAUUUUCUUUAGGAUUUUUUGCAUAAAGGUAUGAACUUUAAUGGUAAAUUAUGCCUAAGUUUGGAUUAAGGAAGCUUGGGUAGGUUGAAUUUAGCUCAGUUAGUGUAUUUUGGCAACAAAAUGGGCUUAAUAAUAAAAUCAAAGUAUAAGUAGAAUUUUCGCCAUCUUAUCCCCAAGUUUCAUGUGUCAAGGUUUGGGGGUAUAGUGUAAAAUUUUGUGAGAUUCUGUGAAAUUUCAUGAAGUAUCUUGACCCUUUACGAGAGAUGAAAUGUAUUUUGUUUUAAGAAUCCUGAUAUAAUCAUAUACUUGUGGGCAUUUUAACACAUGUUGAAGUUUCGAUUAUGUUGGCCUUUCUGUCAAGUGAUUUUGUAUGUGUUACCAGUGUUUGGCUAUGUAAGAUACUGAUACAUGUGUGUACUGAUUUAUCGGGCAGGAGUUUGUAGCAGCGUUUUAAAGAAAAUAUGCCGUGAUAAUGGUCUUGUGAGGUGGCCAUAUCGCAAGGUUUGCUCCUAACUAUUUAUGUAUGUUAAUUAGAUGAAUGUGUUUUGCUUUGUGUACACUAUUUCUGCGCAAACACUUUAUAUAAGAAGAGUACAGUUUAUGUCUGGCGUACUUUUUUGCUGAAGACUGGAAUCAGAAACAAUGGGCUACACUUAUAAGCAAUAGAUUUUCAUCAUAGUUACAUAGACUUUUAUGCUCUCCACUGCUCGUUUAGAAUAAGAUUCUACUAGCAUGUUCCUCAUCCUCAUUCUUCUAGCUAUAUCAAGUCCUGUAGCAACAGCAUGUGUUUUAAUUUCAGUAAUAGACUUACUUGUGCAGAAACCUAGUAUGGGUUGGCCUUUUUGAGUUCAAUAUAUUCCUCCAAAACCAGCUCAUGUUUCUGCUAGAGAUCCAUCAACACAUAAGCUGAUUUGGUUUCUCCAGGUGGUUCCCUCUUGCAGUAGACAACACUCCUAGGCAUCAAUGGGAUAUUCAUUUGCAGACUGUCGAGGAUUAUCCUGUUAUUGGGAUGUUCUAUCUGAGUGCUCCAUCUGUUCACAUGUCUCAUAUUCAAAACUUCAGAAUGCUCAUUUCAAAAUUAGCUACUUUGCCUACUCAUCUACUGUAAGUCAACUCAAAGGCUUAAACAAUUACAUACACCCUAAGAAUAAAAAAAAAAUGACUCGGAAUAUUGCUGCAUAGGCACUUAGGCAGUACUUAAGGUCUAAGGAUCAGACCUACCUUAGAAGCCUGGCUCUUUCAUUUUUUUCAUGGAAGUAAUUCCUACUAUUUUGCAAUAGAUUAGACAAAGUAGCUUUUAUUGUCUUCUUUGUUUAGUACUUUCUUUCGAUAUUGUUGAUUUGGUUUGGAUUUGUACUGUAGUUUCUUGCUGGAAAGAGUGUUGAAGAAAUUCAAAAGGAUGCUGCAAGAGAAAGAAGAAGGGAAACGAUUGAGUUGGCGAAGGCUGCCAGACGAAAAGAUACUGCCACUGCAAGUUUAUACGCUACAACAACUAUGUGAGUUAACCUACUUCUAUGAUGUAUAUUUAUUGCUCAGCAUAUUUCAUAAAUAGUACCACUAUGAAUGGAAACUUAUUUCGUCUAAGACUGGUGCCCCUGUUUCCAACAUGUUCUCAAUUUUUCCAUUUUACAUGAUCUGUCUACUUUUUACUUUUAGGUGUUUAGCUUACUAAAACAAGUUAAGUAUACCUCUCUGUAUCUUUAUGAGAGGGAAAAGGUGGGGAAUCCAUCUUCCAGUGCCUCCCUAGUCCCUACUGCGUCUUCUUUGUUUCCUUCCUGGUUUCCAGGAUAUAACUCGGGUAGAGACACCUCUUUUUCAUGUCUUUAUGAAAACUCAAGUUUAGGCUGUGUGUCUACUUUGGAGUUUGGAUUGUAAUGUAAAAAAGUUGAUUCUUGGAUCAAUUAUUGCAAUAGGAAAAAGGGGACGAUAGUGGCUUUACCAUCAGAGACACUGUAGUGUGAAUGGUAUAUCCAUGCACCUUGCACCUCAUUUUAAUACCUCUGACCUUCUUAUCAAUAAGAUAUUAUUAAUUCCAGUUUCUUGACAACACACAGGAGAAGCCUUUUCUCCCAUUUUUUUCCUUUGUUCUUUCUUUUUCUCCCUUUUUCAUGCAGUCCACUCAUGAAAUGGUCUUGUUUGUCUUGGAUUGCGAAUUAUUGACCACACUGUUUGUGCAUGUUGAGGUUUUAUAUUAGAAUCAAAUGAGUGUUUGAUUGAUUAUGUAUGCCACCUAGUGGUGUAUAUAUAAAUAUAGUGAUAUUCUUAUGACUAAUGACAGUGGAGAAUUGAGUACCAGUAUAUGAGCGCGCAUUAUGUACCAUAUUAUCUAGGAUACGUAGGCAUUCUGGUGAUGGUAUUUUGUGGGUUAAAAUGUCAACGUCCUGAUGUGUGAUGGUAGUGAUUGCUAAUUUUAUUUGUGUUAUAGCUUUCAUUGAUGGCUCUCGUGUGUAUGUUGAAGACUUAGAAGUUCUUUUGCAUAUAUUCUUCAUGGCUUUAUAUGUUAAAAGACCCAAGCUCUAGAAGGCUUGGUUAGGUUCCUGGCCCUAUGAAGUCGACGUUGAAACAAUUAUUCAAUCAAAGACAGUAACAAAUCACAACUUUCCCACUUUUUAAUAAAUAACCAAUCAUUUUUUAUUUUAUUUUUUAAUAAUUAAACUUCCAUUACGAAAACAUAUUACAACUUCAAGUGUUGGGGGUACAUCUCCUCUUAAAAUCAUCAUAGAUAAAAAGAUAAAAUAGAAAGUAGUCUUAUUUUUGUUUAAGUAAAUAUAGCUACCAGUCUACCACCUUAGAUAGGAUAAAAUGUCAGUUCCUGCUUGUUGAUAUCAUGAAUGAAACAAUGAUUUGCUUGGCUUUUAGCUCCGAACAUGUUUAGUGUAAGUCCUUUGCCCGAUUGAAUGCCCAAACAGAAGAGAUCUUCUUCAAUAUUAAACGCACCUUGAGUUUGCAAGGUAUAAUUAGCACCUUGGAAAUGGAAGGUGAUGUCGGGAAAUGAGUCAAAAUCAUCUGGUUGAAAGAAAUAGCAUAAAUUCUGAUACGGAGAGUUGUUGUAAGUCUUUCUCAUCAAUUUAAACUGUUUGAAGUAAUCUUUCAAAACAUUCGUCAAACGAAUGUAUACAUCUGGGACAAGUGUGGUAAGCGGUGCUCCAGUGUCAAUAAAAAAUUUGGUAGUGAGACUUGUGAAAGCAUCCUUAGAUAGUCUAAUGUAAUUUCCGUUCACACUAAUGCCAAUGCAAUUCAACAGGUACCAUUGUCCAUUGAUUAUAGGAAUUGUUUGGACCUUUAUAUCAUUUGGCGGAACAUCCACACUGUUUCCAAAUUUUAUCCAAGAGGUGAUAGAUGAAUACCUAGGUAAGCAGUAAGAGAAACGUCUCAAGGAGGGCGGUAGUUGUGAUAAGAAUGAAAAACGCCCAGGUCCUAAUCCAAAUAUACCAGCAAUUUGAUUAUAUUCACCCAAGUGAAUUACGUUGUCCAACCCAAUCCCAAAUAUCAUUUUAAGUUUCUCUUCGCCCAAAGUGUCUGAAUCAAAUGUCAUAUCAUCCUUCACGAUGAACCCUCUUGUACCUCCAUGAACAUUGUCACCGUAAUAUUGUUCAUAUACACAGAAAUGAUCAAUAUUACACAUCUUUUGGCAUAAGGGGUGCUCACAAUCUAGAUAAGUAAAUGAAGUUGAUUGUUCAGAGUUGAAGGAACCAUUCUCGAUAUAAAAACACCGUAUGCAGUCGUGAGCUUGGACCCAAGUAAGAUGGCUCCCGGUGUCAAACAUCAAGUAAAAUUGGAUUCCCGGUGUACCAAUGCGUAAAGACACCAUGUAGUACGGAUUUGGCUCUGAAAGAGUAAUUAAAGGUCGUAUAGUAUCUUUUUUGAGUUUUGAUCUUGAUUCCGUCCAACGUGCCCUAGAAAUUGUAAUAUCUACCAUUUUCUGGAAUCUUUCUUUGUGGGUAAGGUUUUUUUGGUAUUAGUUUUAUGCUAAACCCUUGAGCCGCACAAACCCAGAGACAAAGAAAGAAAAGAACCGAGAUAGCAAUACUAGGACCCAUGUUGCUGCCAAUUAAACAAAAAAUAAAAUUAGAUAGUUUGAUGCAAAAAGAGAGAAAAAGUUUGAUGCAAAAAGAGAGAAAAAUAUCAUAAAUAACCAACAAAAGCUAAAGAUGGGUGAAAUAUUAAUAGCAGUUGAAAUUUUAGAUAUACCACAUUCAUGGGGUUUGACGAAAUCAACCUAAUUAUUUUCUUAGACAACCUAUGUUGUUUUCAGGCUACUUUCCUAGGCUAUAUACAAUACACAAUAAAUACUAUGUUAUUAUCCAUACUGAAUAUACAUAUAUAUUAACUGUAUAUUUAACUAUGUAUAUGUAUAUAUAGUUAAAUAUAUACAGUUACCAAAACAAACUAUGUAUAUUAAAUAUGUCACAACCAAAAAAAACUAUUGUACUGUUACAUAUAUGCAGGGGGGUACAUACAGUAUACAAGGACGAAUCCAGGGGGUGCACGGUGCAACCGCACCCCCAAAAUUUGAAAUUUUCAUUAUUUUCCCUAUGUUUUUUUGUACAUAUAUCAUUAUUUCCCUAUGCUUUUUGCACGUAUAUAAAAAAUUUAGCUUAAAUAUGUAGAAUCGCCCUUCCAAAAACGAACUAAGGAUAUGUUUCAUCGACCUGAGAUAAAAGANNNNNNNNNNNNNNNNNNNNNNNNNNNNNNNNNNNNNNNNNNNNNNNNNNNNNNNNNNNNNNNNNNNNNNNNNNNNNNNNNNNNNNNNNNNNNNNNNNNNAAAAGGUGUCUUGUACAAAGUAAAGGUGAACCUGUCUAAUGCAGAUUGUAAAAUCCAUACCUAACCUAAAAAAAAAAUAAAAAAAUAUUAUGAUUUGAUAUAGAUUAAAAAGUAAAUAAAACAUUAAAUAUAGGGACUGUAAAUAAAUUGCACAUUACACAGUGUUGUUUACUUCAAUUUCAACCUAAUAAGUGUAGUUUUAUGAUUUCACUUGUAAGUAUAAUACACAUGAUUAUAAGGUGUUUCUUAGUAAGUGUGCAAAACACGUGGAAAAUUAUAAGGUUGGGACUGUAAAUAAAUUGCACGUUACACAGUGUGUAGGGAAAUUCCUAAAAUACACUAUCCCAAAUAUGGGACCAACAUUUUUUAUGCAAUUAAACAGGUUGUGCAAUUAUAGAGUGUGCAUUUAGACAGGUUUUACUGUAUAACUAUGUUACAUAGUUAUUAGGUUACUAAUCAGACUAAAUUUAGACAAAGGUCUGUUACUAUGUUACAUUUGGAUAUUAACCAUGUUAGUAUGUUACUACCAAAAAAAAAAAAAAAAAAACUCUUUUUGGGCUUAUUUCUUGUUGGUUCAGAAUGUAAGAACCAGGAAAUUUGUAAGCUCUUCUCCUGCUUGUUUUGAAAUGAAAUAUUUUUACUUUGAUAUUGGAAGUAUUCUCUUUCUUAUAGAAUAGUUUUAUGCGUACACAUUACUAAGUCUCAAAAAUAUCUAUUGGUGAAUAAUUAGCCUUCAAGUAUUUCAGAUAAGGAUUUUGUGUCAACCAGUGAUAUGGGUGCAAUUUAUCCUGAAGUAUCCCAUUUUUUUUCUUGUAAUUAUAGUGUAUCUUCCUUGAAGAUGGAAUGGUCAUUGCAUCUUUAAAUGUUGGAUAUUCUCCUAGUGUAUUAUAACUUUAUUUAUGGAGGUUCAAUAUCAGAUCAGUAUUUUAAAUUUUAUUUGGACUAGGCAAAAAGUGAAGUGAACGGUGUGAGUUAAUUUGAUAUAUUUGAUAGCAAUGUUGUCAUACUGAGUUUUGCAGGUUUUUCAUUUUACAUUUCGUUCGGACACUGGUGGCCAUUCAUACUAUUGACAACAUGAAUGCUCGAGGCAUGACUACACAUAAAGUUUGUGUGUGAUACAACAAUAGCACGGAGUCCAUUAAUCAUCUAUUCUUCUUGUGUCAGACCUCUGACAUGGGAUGGACUUGUUGGCCAUAUUGGAAGAAUGAGAGGUUCUAUGGAUGAUGUGGGACUAAGAGCUUUUUUCUCAAUUGGCCAAAACUUAAUUAUAGAGGUUUGAAUGAAGCUUGCUGGUGCAUCCUCCUUAUGCUGUCUUAUGGGUUCUUUGGAAUGUUAGAAACGUAAAAAUAUUUGAACAUUGCUAUUGAUAUUGGGAAAGUGAUUUUAGAGAGUGAAAUAUUCUCUAUUUAGACAUCAUGUGCAGAACUGUUGAUGUGAAGAAGUGGUAUAAGCUUGCUGAUUUGCUGUUACACUGGGGCAUGUUGGGUGUAGAUAGGAGGUAAUGAUGGCUGCUCAGCUGUGGUUAUCAGGAAGACGACUGUUUGCCAGGUAUGCAGGGAUAUGUGUGCAGACAGCAUACUCACAGAUUGCGUGUUGGGAUGCUACUGUUAUGGCUACUCUGCCGGAGAUGGCCUGAGAGCUACCGGGGAUGCAGGUGGCUGAAUGAAACAAGAGUAAACUGCUGCAGAGUCUUCAGCUGCUAGGAUGCUCUGGACAGUAAUGAGGAUGCUGAUUAAUGGAAGUGUUUUCGGCAGUGGUUGAAAGUUUACAUGUGUUGGGAAGCCCAAGUGUACUCGAGCAGUUUUGUUGGGUUGAGGACCUCACUCACCCAUUGUCAGGUAUCCUAAGCCAUUAGCGCUUGAGUGGUAUGCGUGGGGUGGACUAUAUAUUGUGAGGAAUGAGGAUUGUGGCAAAAGCCAAGGAGGGAGCCGUGACUAAAUUAUGUACUAUAUGUCCUUUUCUGCUACACUUUUACUCGACUAUUUACUCGAUGAAUGAAAUAUUCCUUACCAAAAAGAAAAAGAAAAAUUAUGUUGCUACCCCAAAAAAAAAAACCGAUGUUACUGUAUAUAAUCUUUAUUUACCAAAAAACGUACUAUGUAUAACAAAAUAAUCAAGCAUACCCGAAAGAUACAAAGUAACAAAAUAAUCAAGCAUACCUGAAAGAUACAAAGAGACGCAGAGACUAAGGGAGCUUUUCUCUUAUGAGAAUGAAUGAGAGAGACAGAGAUAGAGCUAAUAUUCUUAGAUAGCUUCAUCUCUGCAAUUUUAACCUACUCUCAACCAACUCUUCAUCUAUGCAAAUUUAAUAUUAAAUUACUAGAACAUACAACUUUGCUGUCCGCCAGUCCCACUAAGACAACUACAAAUAACAUAUAACACCAAAGGUCAUGUUAUGCUUAGUUAUUUUUCCUAUGGAUCACAUAUUCACAUUGGGAUGUUUUGCAGUACGUAUGCUAUCUGAAAGGAAGAUAUUCAUAUUGGGAUGUUUUCCUAUGGAUCACAUAUUCACAUUGGUUGGACCAGCGUGGAAGAUAAAAUUUAGAAAAAAAAAAAGGUUUUGCGUUAGGGGUACCCUUGAUAUAGGUAUAGGAGACGUGAAAAAAAAAGUGAUGGGAAAGUAGGUGGCACCUACGUGUAUGCUAAAUCGUCCCAUGUGUCGCAGUGUCGGCAAUAUUUGGGAGACCCAUUAGAGAUGCUCUAACAACCUUGUCAAUUUUCCAUGCAAGUGACAUAUGAUUGACGUUCAGGUCUUUGAAAAUCUUACAACAUCUGUGCUUCCAAAUUUCCCAUGUCACAGUAAUAUAAAAAGAGCUCCAAUAACCUUUUUUCAUAAGCCAAUUAUCUGGUGGUUUGAUCCAAAGUUUUAGCCAAUUUUCAGUUGAGAUGUUUUUGUAACGAGUUAAUCUAAAAUGACUAUUACAGUGAUACCAAACUGCCUGGGUAAAAGGGCAGUCCAGAAGCAUAUGCCUAAUAGUUUCCAAAGGGCAGUCACACAAAGGGCAUUUCUUGGAAGGGAUGAAGAAAUGUCUUCCAAGUCUCUCUCUAGUUGGAACAACACCGUGGAAACAUUUCCGGGCAAAGAUGAUAGCCUUAGGUGCAACAUGCACUUUCCACAACUUAAGAUUUAUCUUUUGAGUUUCAAUAGGUGUGGUGGAAAUGUUGGUGAGAAUUUUAUACAUAGAGUUGACAGUAAAGUUCCCUUUUUUGUUCCCUAACCAUAUAAUAGAAUCUUUAUAUUGUCUCCCUCAAGUUCAAACUAACUUAAGUGGCUCUUGGUUGCCCGUUCAAGUUCAACUUAACCAAACGUUACGUUGAGCGACACCCUAUUACCCCCCAUAACAUGAUUUUUUUACUAAGAAUAUGGGCGACUCUCUUUUGUCCGCCCCAUAACAUGCAAGCGGGUGUUAAAAGCCCGUCUUAAAGAAGCGGGUUUUCAAUGAUCAUUUAACCAAAGCGGUUCUCUAUUGCCCGCUCAAGUUUGAUGAACCAUUAGAGAAAACGAUUUUUAGUAGCAAAUAAACACAAAAUGGGUAUCAAAGAUGCUUAGGUGGACCACCAAAACAAAAAAACCAAAAACCAUUAGGGAUGCCCUUACACCACCAAAGGUUUUUUUCCGGGAAAACCUGUAAAUUUUUUGGUAACAUCAAAGGUCAUUUUCGGUAAAACUUGACUAAAAUGGGGAUAUCUCUAAUUUAUUUUCAGAUGGGGGUAAGUCCAAAAAUCUCAAAUAUUACUCUCGAGAUUUCAUAUAUACUUCAAAUCAAUGGUGGAUACAGUAAUUGCUUUGGACUUACUUUGCUCCUAGCUCACUGUACAUUUCUCAACUGUAUAUCUCAAUGCAUAAACAUCUACGCUUUACCAUCAAAGAACAUACAACUUUGCUGACCCAUUAAGACAACAACAAGCCUUCAUGACCAAGAUAUUCAACAAGAAGAACACCAAAGGUCAUUUUCGUCACUGAAUUUUUUUUCCAGAUCUUCUUCUUCUUCGUUCUAUCCCUUUCUUCCAUUCUUCUUUCACGCAAAGAGAGAGAGAGAGAGAGAGAGAUCUGAAAUUCUCUUUUCACACAAAACCCUUGAAAGAUGUCGAAAAUUACAAUUUUACUCAUCUUCACCCUUUCACUUGUUGUUCUCCCUUUCACUACUGCAGAAAUAAAAAACCUUCAAAUCACUUCUGACAGUCGUCCAAUGAUUCUGUUUGAAAAGUUCGGUUUCACUCAUUUCGGUCAUGUAACAGUUUCAAUCAAAGAUGUUACUUUCACUUCAACCUUAUCUCAACCCGAUCCAUCAAGAUUAGGGUUUUUUCUAUUAUCAGAUGAAGCUUUGAUUCAAGUUCUAAUUGAAUCUGAAACAAACCCUAAUUUCUGUGUUCUUGAUUCACAUUAUAUUCAAAAUCUAUUCACUUUUAAAGAAUUAGUUUCAAAGAACUCUUUCAAUCAAUCUUAUCCAGUUUCUGCUCCAAAUGAAUACUCACUCUUCUUUGCAAAUUGUCAAGCUGAAACUCAAGUCACUAUGACUGUAAGAACAGAGAUCUAUAAUCUUGAUGGGAAUGAAAAGGAUUUUCUAUCAGCAGGUCAAACUCAAUUACCUAUGCUUUAUUCCAUGUUUUCUUUAGCUUAUUUAGUGUUUGUGGGUGUUUGGGUAUAUGUUUGCAUAUCCAAUAAGCUAUCAAUGCAUCGGAUUCAUUUGUUAAUGGCUGGGUUACUUAUAAUGAAAGCUUUGAAUUUGAUUUGUGCUGCUGAAGAUAAACAUUAUGUUAAGGUUACUGGUACACCACAUGGUUGGGAUGUUUUGUUUUAUAUUUUCCAGUUUAUUAGAGUUACAUUGCUGUUUACUGUGAUUGUUUUGAUUGGAACUGGGUGGUCGUUUUUGAAGCCGUUUUUACAAGAGAGAGAGAAGAAAGUUUUGAUGAUUGUCAUUCCAUUGCAAGUUAUUGCUAAUGUGGCUUCUGUUGUGAUUGGAGAAACUGGGCCUUUUAUUAAGGAUUGGGUUACUUGGAAUCAGGUGUUCUUGUUGAUUGAUAUUGUUUGUUGUUGUGCAAUCAUAUUCCCAAUUGUGUGGUCAAUUAGGGGUUUGAGAGAGACUUCCAAGACUGAUGGGAAAGCUGCAAGGAAUUUGGCAAAGUUGACUCUUUUCAGGCAAUUCUACAUUGUUGUCAUUGGGUAUUUGUACUUUACAAGGAUUGUUGUUUUUGCCCUAAGGACUAUUUCUGCUUAUAAAUAUCAGUGGGUAAGCAAUGCAGCUGAGGAAAUUGCAAGUCUUGCUUUCUACAUGGUAAUGUUCUAUAUGUUCCGGCCAGUCGAGAAGAAUUUGUACUUUGUUCUUGACGAGGAGGAUGAAGAGGCUGCUCAGCAAAUACUUCAGGAUGAGGAAUUCGAGCUUUGAAGCUUAUCAUGGUCUUGUUGUGUCUCUUACCGCUCUGACUGUAAUAGCUUGAGAGUUGGAUUACGAAAUUUACAAAUAGGAUUGCUGGUCAAGAGUAUGCAGCUGCUCCCAUUUACCACUAGCUUUUUUCGUGUAAUAAGACAAUAUUUCCUUUCAUGUUUCAUGGUUUGGGUUGUGGCUCUUGAUAUUGUUCCUUUUUUGUUAUUCAGCAAAGGAUGGAGUAAGUUACAAUUAUACUCUGAUUUUUUUUUCUUUGUUAUAUUUGGACAUUGUUUGGUAGCAACAUAGUAGUAGUUAUUCCUAUAUUGCAUCACAUUGUUAACAAUUCUUUCUGGUAGACUCCCUACAUUUAUGCACCUUUGAUAUCACUUAGUUCUCUUGCUUAACUAAAACUUCAAUGGCUGUGAACAUAUUUUACAAGUUAAUGUGUUUCUUUGCAUAUGUUUAUAUGUGCUAUGCUUCAGAUUCUAUGUUCAUAUUACUUUGAAUGUUUAUACUUGGUUUUGUCGCACCAUUUCUCUUAUGCCAAUACCAUGAGAUAUAUAAUCAUUUGAUUUGGCGUGAGCUUUAUUUUUGACACACGGUUGGGUGUUUCAUAUGUAGUGGUUUGCAAGGUUUGCGUCAAAGAUCUUUUUCCUUUUCUUUUAUGUUUCAAAAUUUCCCCUCUGACUGUUUAGAGUUGGAUUACCAAAUUUACAAAUAGGAUUGCUGGUCAAGAGUGUGCAAGCUCCCAUUUACCACUAGUUUUUUUUUUUUUUUUUUUAUGUGUGUGUGUAAUAAGACAAAAUUUCCUUUCAUGUUUCAUGGUUUGGGUUGUGGCUCUUGUUAUUGUUCCUUUUUUCUUAUUCAUCAAAGGAUGGAGUAAACGAGUAAGUUUAAACUAUACUUAGAUUUUUUUUUUUUUUUGUUAUAUUUGCACAGAGUGUUUAGUAGCAACAUGGUAGUAGUUGUUUUUAUACUGUAUCACAAUGUUCAUGAUUCUUACUGGUAUAUCCCCUACAUUUGUCAAAAAUAAAAAUCCCCCUACAUUUGUGCACCCUUCGUAUCACUAAAAAUUCUCUUGUUUGACUAAUAAAACCUCAAUGAUUUUGAACUUAUUUUAUGGGUUUAUAUGUUGGCCUAAUUUGUUUGUUUGUAUAUAUUUGUAUGUACUAUUUUUUUAGAUUCUAUGUUAAUAAUAGCUGAAUGUCUAUGCGUGGUUUUGUCACACCAUUUAUCUUAUCCAGAAAUAUAUAAUCAUUUUGAUUUGGUGUGAUAUUUAUUUUUGACACACGCUUGGGUGUUUCAUAUGUUGCAAGGUCCUGUCUUGCAUCAAAUAUACGUUUCUUUCUUUUUUUGUUACAAGCUUGUGGUAGUUUUGGGGUUAGGAACAAAAAUCUAAGGAUGUGACUUGCUAGGCAGGUAGUAUGAUUCCUUGUUCUACGAGUGAAUUUAUCACAAACCGUCAAAUUUGUUUACCUAUUGCUAGUAAGGGUCCACUUUGAUUAUUAUUAUUAUUAUUUUUUUUGUUAGUUUUGUUCUUUUUCGUUUGACAUACUCUUAAAUCUGUUUGAUUUCCUUGAGGACAACCUUUAUGCUGGUCAAUCUAAUAUUGGUGUUUGAGUUUUCUAGAGGUGUUAGUUUUGUCAGUAUGUCACUAUUACUCAAGCAGCUCAUGGAAGACUAGGAUUAAAGUUUUGAGUUCCUAAAGGUGUUGGCUAUAUUAGUGGGUAAAAUUUAUAGGAGCUGUAUAAUCUUAGAGUGAAUAACUGAAUAUUGUCUUCUACUGUAGUUGUGCUAUUCCUAAGAUCAUGUUGUGUUUAAUUAUUUUGUUCCUUAAAAGUAUGUAGAAGGUAGUUUUCUUCCUAAGUUUGCAGAAGUGUAUUCAUGUUGUGAUUAUAUUUAUAUCAUGCAAAUUUCUCACUCAUAGUGAGAGACAAUAAGAAAAGCGACUACCAACUACAUCUGCUAUGAUGCGGCAAAACAAGUCUGGAAAAUCAAAAGAAAUAGAGCCAAAUAACUUCAUCUAAUCAUAUAUUUUCCUCCUUUUCUUUUUUUGGGUGAAGACAUGUUCAUGUAUAUGAUAUAAGCCUCUUGGUUUUCUCUCAUUAAGAGUCUCUGGUGCUCUUCCUCUUCUGAACACAUUGGUUACUUUCCUAUUUGUUUUCCUAUUUGCAACGCUUAAUUAUGCACUUUCCACCCGUUUCUUCCUCUGCAACUUCUUUGCAAUAGUCUUUUUAAAGUUUGUUCUCUUGAUAAAUUCCAGUGAUUCCUGACCGAAUUUCAAUUGGUGCUGUCUCUGGCCCCAACUAAUUCUUCGGAUCGCACCACCUUUCGAAAUAAUUUAGGAUGAGUAAUAGGAUCAAAUGGGUUGUCUAUCACAGUGAGUCCUUUGGCACUCAAUAUGAUGAGAGAGACGCACAAACAUAACAACAUGCAGAUUGAUCUUCAGAGCAGCAGCAGAAUAUAUAGGACAAUAACACAAGUCCAAGAAGCUAGUUUUGCAUAUUGUCAUAUUGACAGGCUCCUGCCAUACUAAGGUAAAAUUACUUGCACAAGGGCCGUCUUUCUUUUCUUUUCUUCUUUCAUUGGCAUGAGGUUUAUCGCAAACCGACAAAUAUUAACCUACUAUAUAUGGGUAACAAGGGUCCACAUUGAUUGUUAUUCUGGCUGGGGAGGGCUUGUUUGACAUUCAAUUCUUUUUGUUUGUUUGAUCUCCUUGAGGAUAACCUUUCUGCUGGUCAUCUGAUAUUGGUGUUGAGGUUUUUGUUAUAUGAAUAUAUGGUGUGCUUUGCAGUCAUGUUGCUCUAUUGCUCAAGCAGAAGGGGAAAGACUUUCAGUACUAGGAUUAAGGUUUGUUCUUAUAGGAGUUAUUAAACUUGGAGUGAAUAUUGCUCAAGCAGAAUAUUUCUGCGACACCAAAGAAUCACAACAUAUAAAAUUUCAGUUCUUCCUCUUCUGAAGAUCGUUCACAUUGUCCUUGUGCGUGGGUGGUAACUGGUUGUGCGUGGGUGGUAACUGGUAUGAUGGCUAAGGCUUUGUUGUUCACAGUGAGUCCUUUGGCAACAUCUGUUUUUUCUGAAGAUAUAUCUGGAUAUAAGUUUUUACAGUUUUUUCUCCUGAGUAUUUCCACCACUGAGUCGUGAUGAUGGUCCCAUCCUGGUCCCUUAAAAUAAUUAGUACCGUAUUCAUUCAGGAAGAUGAAGAUCGUUCACAUUGUCCUUGUGGAUGGGUGGUAUCAUGGCUAAGGCUUUGUCAUUCACAGUGAGUCCUUUGGCACCCCGUAUGAUGAGAGACAAUGUAAAUAAAUACAGGAAAAUAACAACGCGAUUGGUAUUCAUAUUGGUGUUCAUAGCGGCAGAACAGAGAGAGAAAGAGAAACAAAUAAAUUUCUAAAAUUUGCAGUCUUGCAGAAGUGUAUACAUGCAUGCAAAUAAGCAAAUUGAUAUAUAUAACUCAAGGUGAGACAAAAAGAAAAUCAAUUUUCCUUUGUAAUUAAAAUCAAAUCGCCAUAAUACCAACCUAUAUAACUAGGUUUGCUGUAAUGCUCAAAACAGUUAGAAAAUCUAAAGAAUUAAAAAGAAAUAAUUAACCCCAUCUAAUUUAAUAUGUUAGACCAAAUAAUUUCUUUAUUUCGAUUUUGUUCAAGAACUUACUGAUAUAAACGAGAUAAGCCUCUUGGCUCUCUCUCAUUAUGAGUCUUUGGUAUUCUUCUUCUUCUGCACAUAUGGGUUGAUAUUGAUCCUUUCCUAUUUGCACCGCAUAACCAUGCACUUUUUCCCCCAGUUUAUGCCUCUGCAACAUUCUUGCAACAACCUUUUUACAGUUGUGUGUCUCGAUCCAGUCCAGUACGUCCUCAUUGUUAAACAAAACCUCAUAUUGCAUGCCACCAAUUUCAAUUUUUGUUCUUGAUGAUCCUAUCGAAUGUGCCCGAGAAACGGUAAGAUCUAUCAAUUUUUGGAAUCUUUCUUCUUGGGUAAGAUUUUUCUCAUAAAGUGGUGACUCAGGCGAGUCCAUUGGGAUUAAUUUCAUGCUAAAUCCUUGAGUUGCACAAACCAAGUGAAAGAGAAAGAAAAGAACCAAGAUAUGCAUACUAGGAGCCAUGUUGCUGCCAACAAAAGAAAAAAUUAAUUUUCUGCUUGAUUUCUGGAAAAAAAAAUACAUUAAUUUUGUUAUAAGCAUGCAAUUCAAUAUUUUAAUAUAAAGCAAAAAAAAAAAAAAAAAAAAAAAUUAAACAUGUUAUACCUUGGAAUAGAGGGAGAGAGACAGAGCAGCAGCCAGUGGCGGAUCUAAGGGGGGUCAUGGGGUAUCACUUGACACCCCUGAAGUUUUGCAAUUUUUUUACUAUAUAUGUUCAAUUUGUUAAUUUUUUUAAAUAUAUUUAUUACCAAAGAUACUAUAUUGUAUCUUCUAAUAAAGUAAUAUCUGUUAAAUUGUUUUUCAUUCUCAUAAUUUAAAGAUUUUAUAAAGAUCUAGAAGAUCUUACAUAAAUAAAAUGUUAAAAUAUCUUUACAUUUAUGUACAUAAUAGAAAAUUACAAUUUUUUAUGUGUAUUUUUCGCCAACCUUCUAAAAAAAUUAAUUUUGAGUUAUAUCAAAAAAAAAAAAAUAAAAAAAAUUCAAUCAACAAUCUCUUUUUUCUUGUUCAUCCAAUCACAUCUAUUUGAAUUUUGGUCUUUAACAUAAUGUUUUAGACGCAGAGGUGCAAGUUUUGUAUGGUGGCAUGCUCUCAUAUAAUUGGGUCGAGUUGGUUGGGGUCUCAUAAUCUGACGGUAUCAUCUCAUGGCAUGUUGUUCAAAAUUGUUUGUGUGGUUUCUUUAUCAAUAAAUUGUGAAUUAUAUAUAUAUAAAAUGACGUCUGAAAUGAAAUAGACAAAUUUUUGAAGUAAUUACUUACUUUUUUUCUUGUUUAUAUCAACUCUUGAUUAUAUUUAUUUAUUUUUAAUUAAAGUCUAUUUUACAUGAAAUGAUAGUUUUCUAGAGGUGUUUAAUUUCUAACAUUUUUUUUUUGUCUAGAUGUAUAACAUUCUUGACCCCCCUAGCAGAAGAUCCUAAAUCCGCCAUUGGCAGCAGCGAAGUUAUCAAGAGAGAUAAAUCUGAUGAGUUUAGUCCUCUACUCCUCUCUCUCUCUCUAUAUACAGAGAGAGAAAGAUUUGUCAUGGGAAUAGGGAUCCAAGAAGAAUUGGAUCUCGUGUAAUCAGUGUACGUGUUAGAUUAGAUGUCUCUACUCUCUACAAAUUACCUUUCCAUAAUCACUUGGGUUCUCAGCGUAAACGAGGUGGAGACUGGAGAGGAGGAAGAAGACUAGUAUCUAUGGGUGCAUACAUACCCCAACUUAGCCAUAUGUGGAAGUGGGGGUUUUGGAGUUUGGACUUAACCCCCCCAAAUAGUGACCAGGUUUGGUGCAAACCCCUCAUAGUGAUAUUUUGGACUUCACACCCUACCGUUAAAAAUGCAAUAUUGUAUCUUCAUUAAGCAGGAUAGCAACAAAGACUUUUCUUGGCGGAUGUUACAUCGCUCAUUUUUUUAUCAUUAAAAAUGAUACGUACCAUAUAAACAAGCCCCCGAUAGACCUGUACAGCCCAAGGUUAAAGACCCGCAAAAAUUUCAAAACCACGUUCCACACAUUGUAGAAGUCAAGCAGGCAGUUUAGAGCUACACAUACAAUUGCACUCUACCCUGAAAGCCCUGUCUGUGAUGUCAAAGAAGAGUGCACAUCCUUGAAUGAGAAUCCAUUGAAACCCCUUACUAGUUGUACAAGAAAUUAGGGGUGGGCACGGUUCGGUUCGGUUCGGUUUUGGACAAAACUGUCAACCGAACACCUAGCAGGUGUUUUGCAAAAGUCUAAACCGAAACCGAACUUUUUUAUUUUUAAAACCGAACCGAACCGAACCGAAUACUUUUAACUAAAACCGAAACCGAACCGAACAUAUAAUUAAGUUCGGUUAACCGAAUAAAACCGAACCGAACCGAAAAACUGAUAUAUUUGAAAAAUCUGAAAAUCUGAAAUGGGCUGUAGUGGUCUGUUCACUGUUGGAUACUUGGAUAUUGGGCUGGACUCCUGGAUAGAUGGGAUGGGUUGGACUAUGGAGAGAUGGGCUGUAGUGGGUUGUAUACAAAAUACAUGUUCGGUUCGGUUUUGGGUGUUCGAAAAUUUUCGAAACUGCAACCGAACACCCAAAGCAGGUGUUUUGCCAAAUUAGAAACUGCAACCGAACAUGGAAACAUGUAAACACCCUAUUUUCGGUUCGGAUCGGUUCGGUUCGGUUCGGUUUACAUGUUUCGGAUCGGUUUUGCCCACCCCUACAAGAAAUGACGUGAAACCACAUAUCAUUAUGUUGAAACACGUCAAUCCCAAACAUUACAAUGAAAAGCCGAACCAACAGGUGAAAUCUGCUUCUAUAAACUCAAAUUAUUUAACUCGGCUAGCUAUCUGAAAGGGUUUUAGUUUUUAGAUUGAAUAAGGUUCCUAGUAUCUAGGAAGAGUUGUUCACAGUUGACACUUUCUUUGGUGUUUCUGCUUUGAUUUUUUCUUUUAUCACGUUUCUGUUAGUUGAGCUAUUUUCUAGCUAUUUGGUUUAUUUGUAAGGCUAUAUAACAGCCACUUUUAUUCAAUAAUAUCAAGUCAUUUCAAUCUAGUUUUGUUUGUUUGAGUUCUUUUCUUGUUCUCAUUCUCAACAAUCUGGUAUACGAGCCAAAAGGAAAAGCUGCAGUCUUUUUGAGUGAUUUCUAAAACACAGAGUGAAAAGAUGGCAGCAGAGUCAAGUAACUUUGCACAGCCUUGCAUUCCAAAGUUUGAUGGGGAUUAUGAGCAUUGGAACAUGCUAAUGGAGAAUCUCCUUCGUUCAAAGGAGUAUUGGAGUGUUAUUGAGACGGGGUAUGCAGAACCCGCAGUUGAAGAAGUUUUAACAAAUGCAUAGAGAAAAACUUUGGAGAAGACAAAGUUGAAGGAUCUUAAAGCCAAGAACUAUCUCUUUCAAUCCAUUGAUAAGUCCAUUCUGAAGACCAUUGCUCAGAAAGAGACGGCAAAACAGCUGUGGGAUUCCAUGAAGGUCAAGUACCAGGGAAACGCUAGGGAGCAGCGUGCUCAACUUCAAAUUCUUCGCAGGAAUUUUGAAGUAUUGGAGAUGAAACUUGGAGAAUCUGUCACAAAUUACUUUGCAAGGGUAAUGCUGGUGGCAAACGAUAUGAGGAAUCUUGGAGAGAACAUGCCUGAUGUGAAGAUCGUUGAGAAGAUCUUGCGCACACUUACGGAGAGGUUCAACUACAUAGUUUGUUCAAUCGAGGAAUCGAAAGACAUCAAUCGUCUUUCGGUGGAUGAGCUGCAGAGUUCCUUACUUGUUCAUGAACAAAAGUUUCGAAAGCCUGAAGGCGAUGACCAAGCACUGAGAGUUUAUGAUGAAAGAAUUGGAGGAAGAGGCCGAGGAAGAAGUAAUUACAAAGGAAGAGGUCUUGGACGAGGACAACUGCUCAAUAAGGACACAAUAGAAUGCUUCAAGUGUCACAAGCUUGGCCAUUUCCAAUCUGAAUGUCCAACUUGGCACAAGGAAGCCAAUUAUGCAGAAUUGAAUGAAGACGAUGAGAGGCUGCUGAUGGCGUAUGUUGAAUUGCAUGAGGUGAAACGAAAUGAUGCAUGGUUCCUUGAUUCAGGAUGCUCCAAUCAUAUGUGUGGCUAUCGAGGUAUGUUUACCAAUUUAGAUGAAAGUUUUCAACAUACAGUUAAGUUGGGAAACAAUAGUAAAAUGAGUGUGGCUGGAAAAGGAAAUGUAAACCUAUUGUUGAAUGGAGUUAAUUAUGUUGUCAAUGAAGUGUACUAUGUUCCAGAGCUCAAAAAUAAUCUCUUGAGCAUAGGACAACUUCAAGAGAGAGGGUUAGCAAUUUUAAUUAAGGGAGGAGCAUGUAAGAUCUACCAUCCAAGGAAGGGUUUAAUCAUUCAAACUCUAAUGAGUGCCAACAGAAUGUUCAUCCUGCUCGCACAGACUCCAGUUCAAGUACCUGCCCAUGCUCAACCAGAGAGGUGUCUUCACACAAGCUCUCUAGAUCUUUCUUACCUUUGGCAUAGGCGAUAUGGCCAUUUAAGCUAUAAAGGUCUAACAACCCUGCAAUCAAAGAAGAUGGUAUGUGGACUCCCUCAAUUUUCUGCCUCAAGCUUGACUUGCACAGAUUGUAUCAAUGGCAAGCAACACAGAGAUGCCAUGCCGCAGAAAAGCACUUGGAGAGCAAGUCAGAAAUUGGAACUAAUUCACGCCGAUAUUUGCGGUCCUAUCACACCUGAGUCUAACGGCGGAAAGAGGUACAUAUUGUGUUUCAUUGAUGAUUUUAGUCGAAAAUCAUGGGUGUUUUUCUUAGUUGAAAAGUCGGAGGCACUGAAUUGCUUUAAAAGAUUUAAAAUAAUGGUGGAAAAGGAGACAGGGAUGUUUGUAAAGUGUUUUAGGACUGAUAGAGGAGGCGAAUUUACUUCCAACGAGUUUAAUGAGUUUUGCAGGCAGCAAGGUAUCAAGAGGCAGCUGACCACAGCAUACACUCCGCAGCAUAAUGGUGUAGCCGAAAGAAAAAACAGAACAGUGAUGAACAUGGUUCGAUCGAUGCUUUCGGACAAAAGAAUUCCAAGGACUUUUUGGCCGGAGGCAGUGACUUGGACAUUCUAUGUUCUCAACAGGUGUCCAACAUUGGCAGUGAAAGAUAUUACACCUCAGGAAGCAUGGGGUGGGAUCAAACCCUCCGUCGAUCACUUUCGAAUCUUUGGUUGCUUGGCUCAUGUACACAUUCCAUAUGUGAGGAGAGGUAAGCUUGAUCAUAAAAGUUUUCCUUGUGUAUUUUUGGGGGUUAGUGAGGAGUCAAAAGGGUAUAGAUUGUUUGAUCCUAUCAAUAAGAAGAUUGUAAUUAGUAGGGAUGUGGUUUUCGAAGAAGAAAAAGAGUGGGAUUGGGGUGUGUCUUAUGCGAAGCAAAUUCUUUUAAACUUAGAGUGGGGUGAGAAUGAAGAAAACAGUGAGAAAGAGAGAGAGAGAGAGAGUGACGGUGGUGGCGAAGAUGAUAAUGAUGGUGAGGAAGGAAACAAUGAUUUAGGAAUUGGUGAUGGAGAUAGAACUAGCGAUGAAGAAGAUGCAGGGAGAGUGAGGGGUCCUCCGGUGUGGAUGCACGAUUAUGUUACUGGAGAAGGAUUAUCUGAUGAUGAAGCAAAUAUGGCAUUGGUUGUGUCAACUGAUCCUGUUCUUUUCGAAGAGGCGGUGCAGAAUACACAUUGGAGACAUGCUAUGGACUGUGAGAUCAAUUCCAUAGAGAAGAACAAGACUUGGUCACUUACUGAACUGCCGGUUGGAACGAAAAAAAUUGGAGUGAAGUGGGUGUACAAAAUAAAGUACAAUGAGCAUGGAGAGAUUGAUAAACACAAGGCACGGCUGGUCGCUAAAGGGUACUCACAAAAGCAUGGCAUAGACUACACAGAGGUUUAUGCACCGGUGGCAAGGUUGGAUACUGUGAGGAUGAUUAUUGCUUUAGCAGCACACAAAAGCUGGAAAAUAUUUCAGUUAGAUGUCAAAUCAGCCUUUCUUCAUGGUGAGCUAAACGAAGAUGUCUAUGUUGAACAACCGAAGGGGUAUGAAAAAAGGGCAGCGAACAUCUAGUGUACAAGUUACAUAAGCUUUGUAUGGAUUAAAGCAAGCUCCACGAGCUUGGUUUAGCCGCAUUGAAGCACACUUCAUCAAUGAAGGUUUCCAACGGUGUGACAGCGAGCAGACAUUGUUCACUAAGAAAAGCAGGGAAGGAAAGAUCAUCAUUGUAAGUGUUUAUGUUGACGAUUUAAUUUUUACUGGUGAUGAUGAAAUUAUGCUGACCGAGUUUAAAAGUUCCAUGAUGAGAGAGUUCGACAUGUCGGACUUGGGGAAAAUGCGGUUUUUUCUUGGGAUUGAAGUUACAGAGAGCAGAUGGUAUCUACAUAUGCCAAAAGAAAUAUGCAUUAGAAGUUUUGAAGAGGUUUGGUAUGAUGGAGAGCAAUUCAGUUAAUAAUCCAAUAGUUCCUGGAUGCAAAAUUAACAAAGAUGAAGAUGGUACUACAGUAGAUGAAACGUACUACAAGCAAUUGGUGGGCAGUUUGAUGUAUCUCACGGCCACAAGACCGGAUAUGAUGUUUGUCACUUGUCUCAUAAGUAGAUACAUGUCCAGACCUACAGAGCUUCAUCUACAAGUAGCAAAAAGGGCACUUCGAUAUUUGAGAGGGACCGUAAAUUUUGGAAUUCAUUACAAGAAAGGAGGAAAAGGUGAAUUGCUUGCAUAUACAGAUAGUGACUAUGCAGGGGAUACAGAUGAUAGGAAGAGUACAAGUGGGUAUGUAUUUUUGCUGAGCUCUGGAGCAGUGUCGUGGAGUUCGAAAAAGCAGCCAAUAGUGACUUUAUCCACCACAAAGGCAGAAUUUGUUGCAGCUGCAAUGUGUGCAUGUCAAGCUCUCUGGAUAAAAAGGAUUUUGAAUGAGUUGGGGCAUUUUGAUGGAGGGUGCACACAUGUGAGAUGUGACAAUAGUUCAACUAUCAAACUAUCUAAGAAUCCGGUGAUGCAUGGGCGUAGCAAGCAUAUCGAUGUGAGAUACCAUUUUUUGAGAAAUCUUACUAAGAAAGGUACAAUUGCUUUAGCUUAUUAUGGAAGUCAGGAUCAGGUGGCAGAUUUGAUGACCAAACCGUUGAAGCUCGAUGCUUUUUUGAAGUUAAGAGAGUUGUUGGGUGUUGGAGAAGUUCUCGAUAUAAACUGACUGCAAUUUGCAGUAAGUUUAAGGGAAGGAAUGAAAGGGUUUUAGUUUUUAGAUUGAAUAAGGUUCCUAGUGUUGUUCACAGUUGACACUUUCUUUGGUGUUUCUGCUUUGAUUUUUUCUUUUACCACGUUUCUGUUAGUUGAGCUAUUUUCUAGCUAUUUGGUUUAUUUGUAAGGCUAUAUAACAGCCACUUUUAUUCAAUAAUAUCAAGUCAUUUCAAUCUAGUUUUGUUUGUUUGAGUUCUUUUCUUGUUCUCAUUCUCAAUACUAUCAUCAUCAUACAUACUCGGAGCGGAAAAAAUUCCCUUGGCCAAGGAAUUAAAUAACACCCUUUACAAUAGUUUGUCUGUGAUAGAAAGAACUGAAGAACACAUACUAAAACAGUCAUAAUUUACCAUCACCCGAAUGUUUACCUCGUGAUUCGUAAGGGAUGUUGGAAUCAUAAGAAGUGAAAUUUCCCACUUUUCAGUUCAAUAUUGUUGUCGGCGCAGUACUUGAGAAAAACUUUACAAAUUUCCAUAAGCAAGUGUAACCCUCCAUAGUAACCUUCAUUCUGCAACCUCUCCACCUGAAUGAUGACAUAUGACCAUGUUAUAAUGCACGUAUGAAAUAAUAAAGUGCAUGUUUAAGCCUUCUAGAAGUAAAAGUCAGAUUAUGUUUGAUUGGCUGUAGAUAUCACGCUUACAACCUUCAACCUUGAACCUUGUAGUUGUUUGCACAGAUUUUUUUUUCUAUCAAUCCAGCCUCCUAAUUCCAGCUCUUCCCUUCCACUCUCGAAUUCACUUAAUUUGAAUAUUUCUAUCAAUCCAGCCUACAUUAGAGAAACACUCAUAAUGAGCUCACUACAAUAAUAUCAACCACACCUUAGGCAUUCCAUAAAAUCGGCUACUAAACCCGUUAUAAUUUAUCUAAAAAUGUUCAGUAAUUAACGAUCAUAACAAUCUUAACAUUUCAACAUCAUACCGAUAACAUGAUCCUUGCAUACCAAUUGAGAUCAUUUAUUCAAAACUUGCAAAUCGUUCACAUCAAUUGCAACAAAAGUAAUCAUUAAAGAUGAUUAUGACACAAAAUGGACCAGGUGAUUGAGUGAGCUGAAUCAGACUAGAUCAUGAGUAGGAUGAGACUGAAUGACAAGAUCUUCUAAAGGUUGCAAUCGAACAGUCAGUCAUAAAUUGCCAAGACUCAACGAGAUGGUACAACCAAAGUAGACAUCACUAGGACCUCCAAAAACUCAAGAAACGCAAUCCUGGCAUACGACUUGUGUCCGAUGAUCUUGCUAGUUUCUUCAGCUCAUACUGUUUUCAGUUUUUUUCUUGCAGACAUUUUGUCAUGAAAAACUUCUGCAAAAUAUUAACUUCCUUGAUUUAAUACUUAAUGGUUCUGAUUCAAAAGCGACCUUUGGCAAGCCUAUGUUCAUCAUAACUGAGAGAAAAUUGAACCAUUGCAGAGAAAAUAAUGUAGCAGAUGGAAUGCUUUAACAAAAAUCUACCGACCCACAUGAUGUCUUAAAGCUCUGGUUAGGUGCCAAGCAAAGCCAAUGAACAUCAUACUCAAAAUUUUGUAAUGAGCUUUCUUGCUGACCAAACUUUAAUGCACCGAACUUAAAAACCAAGGUGAUUCAAUAGUUUGGUUCCCUAUAGCACGACCAAGUUUUCCAUUAAAAAGAGAUGCAUAUACGACCAGUGUUGUUGCUAUAUCUAAACUACAGAAAUAUGACAAUAUUUAAGGACAGUACAAAACUCACUCCCUAAAAUCUCAAAAAACAAUAAUACUCCUAUCAAUGAUCCAGAAGUAAGCACAUAAAUAACCAAAACCCCCCAACUAUAGAUUCCCCAUCCUAGAUAUCGCAACAAUUAUUAACCAAUAAGACUAAAUGACCAACCUCAUCACGCCUUUAGCAAGCUUUAGUGGUAUUAUAGCACGACAAAAAACGCAACAAAUAAUCAACAAGAAUACUUUUUUACCUUGUAUUAUUCCACUCUGACACGUUUUCAGCUUCUGCCGCAUCUAAAUGAUCCAAAAGAGACCUAUGUCUCUGUGCUUGCAAAUUCUCCGACUUACUUCCUUCACUACAUCCACUUUAUUCAUCAAAGAUCAUGCAAUAUCACAUGCAGUAUUCGUGCAACCUGUGGGUGCUUCAGUUGAGCCAGAAGUUAGAGAACAAUUUAAAUCAGGUGUGUGGUUAAUUUGUUAUCUAUUUCCACUGGCUCCUAACAAAACUUGAGAAAUAAGGAACACUUUUGAGGAAAAUAAUACCGUAAGAGUAUUUUGUGACAAUGUGCAUGAGAGUGGGUCGUGCUCCAGCAGCAUUAUAAUAAUAUAUUCAGAUUCAAGAUCUGUCUGAUUGAUGGUUGACAUUAUAUGCUGUUACUAAAUCCGUAUGUAUACUCUUAUAUAUAUUCGGAUCCUGAAAUAAGCCAUAUUUGAUGCAUUCAACUUGGGUCCUUUUUGGGUUUAAGACUUAAUUGAGUUUGGAUCUUGUUCUUCUUUUCUUUUUACACGAAUUUGUAAUUGGUUGUGUAAAAGCAUGUGUGUAUAUAUUUUAGAACCGUGAGACAGAGACGACUGACUUUGGGAGAGAGGGAGAGAGGAGCUGAAGAGGAAGAUGGAGAAAGAGGAGAAGAGAGAUGAGUUGAGAAGGAGUAGGGACAGACAGAAUAAUAAUAAAAAAAAAAAAAGGUUGAGAAAGGGUACAGACACACAUCAGUUUUAUCCCACCUGGUGCUAAAUGGACCUUCUGAAGUCAGUCAAUUAGGUGGAAUUAUGCAUAAUAAAAGGAAAUGUCCUGCACAGCUAACCUCUCUAAUUAAAGCAAGAAGUAUGUCUUGGUUUGAUGUGUUUUUUCGUUUAGUUAAGAGAACAGUACUUAAUCCCAGCUUUGACAUCAUGGCGCUUACUUAUCUAUUCUAUUUCUGUUAAAAAUUGUAGAUUGUCAUACUAAAAAGCGCAAACAGGGCAUGUGUUCAGGAAAUUGAUAGUGCACAACUUUGGGGAAGGCAAAUGAUCCAAACUUGUAGGAACUCGAACUGUCUCCCCGAGAGUUAAACAAUGGUGGUAGAUCAGGACAAACAUUGAAACCAUCCUCUUGGACCCGAAUAGGGAAAAAAAUCAAGAAAUAAUUGGAAAGUGUUACAGUGAAAAGAAAUUGAAAAAUAAUCUGGCGUUUAUGGGGAAGCAAUAUCAUACUUGGGCAAAUCUCACCAAUGAAGAUAUAAUGCUGCUAGACUGAUAGUAAUAGAAUUGAUUGGUCUCCUGAGAUGUGGGAGGAGUACCAAAAGGUAAUUACCACCUCGAUUAGGACAUGAUUCUCAGAUUCGUAUGUGUGGAACGCAAUGGAGAUCAGUAGCAUUACUUACUCGAGAUUAUACAUGAAAUUUGCUGUCUCUAGUACCAUUAUACAGUAUACUCCAUCAUUUUGACUUUAAAGUAAUGUCAAAUCUGUCUUGAAUAUAACUCAAAUUGCUCAUCUCACUUUUGUAUGUGAGCCUGUGAGUAACACAAUGGAGAUCCGUAGCAUUGAUUAAUUGAAAUAUACAUGAAAAUUUACUGUCUCUAGUAUUAUUAUAUACUACCAUUUUGACUUUAAAAUAUUGUCAAAACUAUCUCUUGUAUAUUUAAAAUUUGCAUGUUAAAUUAAACUUGUGCCCCUGCAAAUAAGUAUCCACGAAAUUAUAUACUACCAUUUGAAUCACUUAUAAUUAUAUACUGUAUAUGGUUGGUCCAUUCUUAUAUAUAUUCAAUCGUUUGCUUAAAUUUUUUAUUUUUGAUUAUUGUGAUGUUUAAGAUGCAUGUAUUUGGGUAUAAGAUUGUUGUUGUGUGAAUAAACAAAUUUUUGACAAAUCUAAUAAGCAGAAUAUGAGGGCCAGUGGCGGAUCUAAGGGGGGUCAUGGGGUAUCACUUGACACCCUGAAGUUUUGUAAUUUUUUUACUAUAUAUAUUCAAUUUGUUAAUUUUUUUAAAUAUAUUUAUUACCAAAGAUACUAUAUUAUAUCUUCUAAUAAAGUAAUAUCUGUUAAAUUGUUUUUCAUUCCCAUAAUUUAAGGAUUUUAUAAAGAUCUAGAAGAUCUUACAUAAAUAAAAUGUUAAAAUAUCUUUACAUUUAUGUACAUAAUAGAAAAUUACAAUUUUUUAUGUGUAUUUUUCGCCAACCUUCUAAAAAAAUUAAUUUUGAGUUAUAUCAAAAAAAAAAAAAAAAUUCAAUCAACAAUCUCUUUUUUCUUGUUCAUCCAAUCACAUCUAUUUGAAUUUUGGUCUUUAACAUGAUGUUUUAGGCGCAGAGGUGCAAGUUUUGUAUGGUGGCAUGCUCUCAUAUAAUUGGGUCGAGUUGGUGGGGUCUCAUAAUCCGACGGUAUCAUCUCAUGGCAUGUUGUUCAAAAUUGUUUGUGUGGUUUCUUUAUCAAUAAAUUGUGAAUUAUAUAUAUAUAUAUAUAUAUAUAUAUAGAUAUAAAAUGACGUCUGAAAUGAAAUAGACAAAUUUUUGAAGUAAUUACUUACUUUUUUUCUUGUUUAUAUCAACUCUUGAUUAUAUUUAUUUAUUUUUAAUUAAAGUCUAUUUUACAUGAAAUGAUAGUUUUCUAGAGGUGUUUAAUUUCUAACAUUUUUUUUUUGUCUAGAUGUAUAACAUUCUUGACCCCCCUAGCAGAAGAUCCUAAAUCCGCCACUGAUGAGGGCGCAUUAUGUACCAUAUUAUCUAAGAUAUGUAGGCAUUCUGGUGAUGACAUUUAUUGGGUUGAACUAGGGCCAAGGUCCUGAUGCCUGAUAUGAUGGUAGUGAUUGUUAAGUUUAUUUGUGUUUUAGUUGAUGGUUCUCUUCCCAUUACAUGCACAGACCAUCAGUUCUGAUUUGUGUACUGUGGCGGAAAGGUAGAAUAGUCAGUAUAUUUGGUCGUAAUUUUAUUAAAAGCAUAAGAAAAAUGAAAUUGGAAAUUUUAUCCAAUAUAAUAUUAGAAUGAAUUUAAGAAUUUUAGGUUCAGUUCACCUUGAACUUCAGAUUUAUUUGUAAUUAUUUGUUAAUUGUUUGAAUCAGAACUUCAGAUCUUUCAACAAUAUAGCAUAACUACAAAACCAAGUACCAACAUUGAAUUAAACUGCUACUGGCUCAUCAUCAGGAAGGAGAGUUGUAAGAAUGAGACAGUUGUAAAAGGAGCAAAAUAGGGUAUCCAAUUAUACUUGAUCUCUUUUAAAAUUUAAAAAGAAGGGUUAGCAAAAGUAAUAGUAGCAGUAUUGUUACUUGGUUCUGCGCUGCAGCACGUUUUACCUACUUGAAUCUUGAUCAAGUUCAACAAAGCGGCAAUUAAAGAUGACAACUUUGAAGUUUAAAAUAUUCCUGAAAAUGUCCAAUUCUAUUCUAUGAUGCAUUGUGAUAUAUUCCGUAUAUGAUUUGAAUUUGAUUGAAUUGGGUGAAGGAUGAUUCUUAUCCUCUUUUGGGUAGUUUGAGGCAAAUUGAUCGAAGAUUAAUAAUGGAUGAUAAUUCAUGCUGGAUUUAAAUGCAAUUAUGCAAAGAUCAAGAAUGAUUCUUAUCCUAAGUCGACAAAGAUUCUUGAGCUUUAGAAACAAAAUUGAAGUAAUUCUCAGAAAGAUCAAGUGUAUUUUGCAAGUAAGGUAUGUUCCAAGAUCAAGUAAUGGUCUCUUAGAAAGUGUAUUAUGUUUUUAGUUUUAAAUCUCUUUAUUUAUUUAUUUAUGUUAGUCACGUGUUACUCACAUAUGGUGAUUGCCUUAAUUAGAAUCCUCUUUAUCUACUGCUCUAGCUAGUUUCUACUUUCUACAUUCUACUUUGCUUUUCUCUUCUCUUUUUAUGCUUAUUAGUCUAUUUGUUGUUCUUAAUUAAUGCAGGAGGUUGGCUUGGAAACUCAGUUUGACUAGUAAACAAGAUUGUCAAGGCAACCCAACCAUUUGAAUCAAUUAUAUAUAUAUGGUUAGUUCAUUCUUAUAUUCAAUCAUUUGCUUACAGUAAUUGGGUUUUGAUUAUUGUGAUUUGAUGUUUAAGAUAUGCAUGCAUUUGGGUGCUUUGACGCUUUAAAUUUUACUUCUAUAAGAUUGUUGUUGAAUGAAUAAACAAAUGUUGUUUGUGGUGUAUCUAAGUUGAGAAAGCACAAAUAAAAGAUGUGUUUACAAUAGAUUUUGAUGUUUUCCUUUGUACUACAUUUGAUUUAUGUUAACUGUAGAAUCAUUUUUCUUUUCAAUCGACGUUUUAUUCAUUAGUACUGUUCUUUAGGAUUUAGUUACAACCUCCCACGAAAAAGUAGAAGAAAAAUUGCACAUUUGUAGUUGAACGCCUAGAUAAUUCAAUAUAGAGGAAAUUUCAUGGAAGGUUCUGUUUGGAUCUCAAUUAAGUUAAAUGCAGUAUACUGUAACUUGUAUCCAAUACUUCUCUAGGUUUCAUUAUCCGUGACAAGCUGACUAAUUGUAAAGCAAAUUCCCAUUUAUCCUUAUACUGUAUCUUGUAUCCAAUACUUCUCUACGUUUCAUUAUCGGUAACAAGCUGACUAAUUGUAAAGCAAAUUCCCAUUUAUCCUAGUGUGUGACUGGAUGCUCUGCUCGAACAGAAACAAAGAUGGGGUAAACUGGUAAACUACAUGAGGAUUAAAUUUUCAUGUGAAAGUAUCUUAUGAAAUUGUCUGACAAUCUGCAAGGUGACUUAGUAGUAAAUUAGUAAGAAUGGAGAAACAUGAUUUGCUCAUUUAAGCCCAAACAUUUUAGACGCGGUUAUGUUACUGGAGUUCAGUGUUUCACAAUAAUUGGAAGUUUGUGAUUUUCCCAUUUCAUUCCGCCAUCUCUAUGCAAGGAUGAAAUAACUACGUUUGGGGUGCAAGUAAGAGGUAUGAGAUUUCGAUAGGCAACAUUCCUGGUCAAAAAUUGUACAUAAUUGAUUAUGUAUGCACACCACAAGUGGAAAUGGUAAAGAGUACAAGAUUAGGGUGUAUAAAUAUAACUUUAUUUUAACGAAAUAAAAAUAAAAUAUUACUGUAUAGUGAUAUUCUUAUGACUAAUGACAGUGGAGAAUAGUUGUGGCAAAUUCAGUUAACAGCUAGUAAUAAAUCAUAACUAUAUCCCACUUUUCAAUAUAUAACAACCAGAACAUUAAAAGUACAUGUUUUGUUGUCUUACUUUAUUUUAAGAAAAUAGAUCUACGAGCUUAGGUAAAAUGAUAGUUGUUUCAUCUGGAUAUCAUAUAUAACACAAUGACUUGUUUGGCUGUAUGCUCCAAACAUGUUAAUACUGUUUUCUUCACCACCAAAGCCACCGGAUUGUAUGGCCAAGCAGAAAGUAUCUUCUUCGAUUUGAAAUGCACUUGUUUUUGUCAAGCGAAAAUGAGCAGCACCUUGGAAAUGGAAGGUGAUAUUUGGAAAAGAGUAAAAUUCCCCCGGUUUAUAAGAAUAACAUAAUUGUUGCUUAUGUGGCACUCUCCUCACCUUCAACCACUUAAAGUAAUCCCUCAAUACCUUAGUCAAUUGAUUGUAGAUAUUUGGGACAAGUGUGGUUAAUGGUGCUCCACUAUCAAUAACAAAAUCAGAACUUCUAAAAACAUCCUUAGAAAUUCCGAUGUUUUUUCCAUUAACACUAAUACCGGUGCAAUUCAAAAGGUAAAGUCUAUCAAUUAUCAAAGGAGUUGUUUGAACCACGGCAUCAUUUUGCACAUUCUCAAAUACACUAUUUCCAAACUUUAUCAAACGAGAACUUUCUUCUCCAAUUGCAUUCCAAGGCAAACAAUAAGAAAAACGUCUUGAUGAUAGAGGUAGCUGUGAUAUAAAUGAAUAAGGCCCGGGUCCUAAUCCAAAUAUACCAACCAUUCGAUUAUCUUCACCACCAAAGGCCAUUUUGUUUUUCAAACCAAGCCCAAAUAUUACUUUAACUUUCUCUUCACCUAAAGUGUCUGAAAUAAAUGUCAUCUCAUCCUUUGCGAGCAAGCCAACUGUUUUACUGUGUUUGUCUUCACCAUAGUUUUGUUCUUCAUAUUCACAUAUAUCAUCAUCAACAUCCCCACACGACCGACACAUAAGGUCAUCACAACUUAGGUAGGUAAAUGAACUUGACUGUUCAUAGUUGAAGGAACUCCCUUCGAUUUCAAAACACCUUUCACAAUCUUGAGCCUGGACCCAAGUAAGAUGGCUCCCGGUGUCGAGCAGUAAAAAAAACUGGACUCCUGGUGUACCAAUAAUUAAAGAAACCAUAUAAUAACCUGAUAGCAGUUGCGCAAGACCAAAAGUAGCAGCCAUAUCUUUCUCAAUUUUUGUUCUUGAUGAUCCUAUCCAAUGUGCCCGAGAAACGGUAAGAUCUAUCAAUUUUUGGAAUCUUUCUUCUUGGGUAAGAUUUUUCUCAUAAAGUGGUGACUCAGGCGAGUCCAUUGGGAUUAAUUUCAUGCUAAAUCCUUGAGUUGCACAAACCAAGUGAAAGAGAAAGAAAAGAACCAAGAUAUGCAUACUAGGAGCCAUGUUGCUGCCAACAAAAGAAAAAAUUAAAUUAAAAACUUGUGCUAUCGAACUUGCAACCUAAAUAAACCCGUGUGUAUACCAAUAUAUUCGUAAUAUUUUAUGAUAAAUUAUGUUUAUAUUUAAUACAAACAUAUUGCUGAAAAUUUAAACAUUAGGAGUUAACAAUAUAUUUAAUUUUAUAAUAUUUGACUGGUCCGACCAGUGACUCAAUGGUCGAACGAUUAACCCAAUGCUUUCACUGGGUUGGUUCUGAUAACAUAGACAAAAAUUAAUAAUAGGUGAAAUAUUAGUAGCAAUUCGAAUUUUAAAUAUACCACAUUCAUAGGGUUUGAUGAAAAUAACAUUUGUUUUGUUAGACUAUCUAUGCUGUUUUCAUUCUACUUUCUAGUUUCUAAGGCCAUACAGUACCAAAUUUGUUUGUAUGUGGGUGCAUACUGAUACAGUAGAGUAGCACACAAGAAAAACUAUGUUUAUCCAGAAAACUAUAUUAACUUUAUUAAUCAAAAAGAAUAUACUGUUGUAUACACAUUACUACAUUAGCUAUUUUCUUAGGAUAUGCAAGGCUAGCUAUACAGUAUAUAGUAGUACACAAUAAUAAAACUAUGUUUAUCCAGAAAACUAUGUUACUAUAUAUAACUUUUAUUUAGUUAUAUUUAUCGAAAAGAACAUACUGCUGUAUAAAAAAUACAAUUAGCUACUUUCUUAAGCUAUUUAGUAACAAAAUAGGGAUUCGAUGGCCAAAUUCUUAAAGUUUGGGUCAAUUUGUCAAAACCAAUUUAUUUUUCUAAUUAUCAAAAAAAUUACAUAACCAUAUGCAAUUCAUCAUAGAUACAUCUUACGACUUACAUGUUAAAGUGUAAAAUUACUUUUUUUCUGUAUUAUAGUGUAUCUUCCUUGAAGAUGGAAUGGUCAUUGCAUCUUUAAANNNNNNNNNNNNNNNNNNNNNNNNNNNNNNNNNNNNNNNNNNNNNNNNNNNNNNNNNNNNNNNNNNNNNNNNNNNNNNNNNNNNNNNNNNNNNNNNNNNNNNNNNNNNNNNNNNNNNNNNNNNNNNNNNNNNNNNNNNNNNNNNNNNNNNNNNNNNNNNNNNNNNNNNNNNNNNNNNNNNNNNNNNNNNNNNNNNNNNNNNNNNNNNNNNNNNNNNNNNNNNNNNNNNNNNNNNNNNNNNNNNNNNNNNNNNNNNNNNNNNNNNNNNNNNNNNNNNNAAUCAUCUAUUCUUCUUGUGUCCGACCUCUGACAUGGGAUGGACUUGUUGGCCAUAUUGGAAGAAUGAGAGGUUCUAUGGAUGAUGUGGGACUAAGAGCUUUUUUCUCAAUUGGCCAAAACUUAAUUAUAGAGGUUUGAAUGAAGCUUGCUGGUGCAUCCUCCUUAUGCUGUCUUAUGGGUUCUUUGGAAUGUUAGAAACGUAAAAAUAUUUGAACAUUGCUAUUGAUAUUGGGAAAGUGAUUUUAGAGAGUGAAAUAUUCUCUAUUUAGACAUCAUGUGCAGAACUGUUGAUGUGAAGAAGUGGUAUAAGCUUGCUGAUUUGCUGUUACACUGGGGCAUGUUGGGUGUAGAUAGGAGGUAAUGAUGGCUGCUCAGCUGUGGUUAUCAGGAAGACGACUGUUUGCCAGGUAUGCAGGGAUAUGUGUGCAGACAGCAUACUCACAGAUUGCGUGUUGGGAUGCUACUGUUAUGGCUACUCUGCCGGAGAUGGCCUGAGAGCUACCGGGGAUGCAGGUGGCUGAAUGAAACAAGAGUAAACUGCUGCAGAGUCUUCAGCUGCUGAAACUGUGCAGUUCUGCUGCUAGGAUGCUCUGGACAGUAAUGAGGAUGCUGAUUAAUGGAAGUGUUUUCGGCAGUGGUUGAAAGUUUACAUGUGUUGGGAAGCCCAAGUGUACUCGAGCAGUUUUGUUGGGUUGAGGACCUCACUCACCCAUUGUCAGGUAUCCUAAGCCAUUAGCGCUUGAGUGGUAUGCGUGGGGUGGACUAUAUAUUGUGAGGAAUGAGGAUUGCGGCAAAAGCCAAGGAGGGAACCGUGACUAAAUUAUGUACUAUAUGUCCUUUUCUGCUACACUUUUACUCGACUAUUUACUCGAUGAAUGAAAUAUUCCUUACCAAAAAGAAAAAGAAAAAUUAUGUUGCUACCCAAAAAAAAAAAACCGAUGUUACUGUAUAUAAUCUUUAUUUACCAAAAAACGUACUAUGUAUAACAAAAUAAUCAAGCAUACCCGAAAGAUACAAAGUAACAAAAUAAUCAAGCAUACCUGAAAGAUACAAAGAGACGCAGAGACUAAGGGAGCUUUUCUCUUAUGAGAAUGAAUGAGAGAGACAGAGAUAG
RNAcentral lists this long non-coding RNA (74264 nucleotides) under Aquilegia coerulea. RNAcentral describes it as "long non-coding RNA (ACOE_LNC001501)". The record is from RNAcentral. Lineage: Eukaryota; Viridiplantae; Streptophyta; Magnoliopsida; Ranunculales; Ranunculaceae.